GAGAGUUGAUUGAUUCAACUCCCUAAGAAAAACAUUUUUAUGGAUUGGGUGUUUGCGUAAGAGGCCGGGACGGCGGUCCAGUGAAGGGCUAUUUGGGUAUUAUUGAAAUAUGAUAAUACUUUGCUGCCAAAGGCCAAUGUGUUGCCUUAUAUUUGGUACCUGUGAAUUAGGACAUGCUUCUAUGAAGUGUGAUCCCGUGCUAUCACACGGGCUGAUCAGCUGUGAUAGUACACCCGUCAGUGGAAGUUUCAAUCAAAAUUUAUGAUUUGAUUACUUAAGCUAAUAUUGCUUUUGUUUUCCAUUAGAUACUAUUGUUUCUUAUCUCUUUACUUCUAGAAGGAUAGCACUCAUUAAUGCUUUACAUUUAAGCAUUAUAUAUAUAUAUAUAUAUAUAUAUAUAUAUAUAUAUAUAUAUAUAUAUUGUUUCGCCUUCUAGUUGCUCAUUCUUGCUUUGUUGUUGCUGUGCUAAUCUUUCAGCUGGACUUGGUUAUGCCGAGAAUGCGUCUUCCCGCAAGGAAGAGGGUGCCACUUAACCAUCCCCAAUUGUUCAGGUUUCAUCUUCCCGCACAGGUAGGAAGAACCUAAGGAGUACAUAGAACUUUUGUAGUGUGUAAUAAAAUAUGAAUUAGUCAUAAAACUUAUCUAGACUUUGGAGGAUUUGUGUAGUUUCCUGUAGAAGUUAUUCUAAUCUAGUGUGUAGUGUGUAAUCACAUAAUGGUUUUAUUUAGUGCUUGUUUCAUAUCAUAAGUUGUGUACGAUCCAGUUGCAUGUACGGGUCAUAUUAUUGUCUUAUAAUAUUAGCAUUUUAUUCCGCUGGGCAUAUUAUAUUAUUGUGAGUCAGGUUGUGACCCCCAAAUCGAGACCCCUGAUUUGGAGGGCGUCACAUCCCCGACGAGGGCUACUCGUCAAAAUCCAUAACAAGGUCUUCUUUAGUCUUCGUCCUCUACCUCCGAAGGACGAUAGCUCAUCAGAAUACAAGGUAGGUAUUCAACAAUUAAUAGUAGAUUCUAUCCAUACUUAAUGGUGUCCCUCUAAGUACAACAUUUUCCUUCCUACCCUUUUAAUUUUCAUAUAAAUCAUUCUUACAUAAACAAGCCAAAUGUAUCGUUCUCCUUCAAACAGGGCGCUCCCUCAUUGGAGGUCUUCCUGGGAGGAGUCAGAUAUAUGAGCACUGAGACACCCUCCAAAUCCGGGUCAUAGACUUGGGGGUCACGCAACAAUAUAAACCUGUAAACCAUAAUAAUAUAUGCAUUGACCCUAAACAUCCACGGAUCGCUCCAGGUUAUAGUAUGAAACAAGCCACAACUUAAGUUAUUAUAUUAUAAUACGUCAAAUCCCAAUUCAUAUCUUACAACUUACACACAUAAAACGCAGUGCUUACACACAACGAUACUCAAAAGUUUAUAAUAUCAGCAACUCCUAGCAAGGCUUCCCAACACUCAUCCUGAUACCUUAGCUUGAUGGCUAGCCUGUGGGUCCUCGCUAACAGUAGUCUCUUUCUUCACUGGAAAAGAACAUAAGGCAUCGCAAGAGUGAGCUUACAGCUCAGCAAGUAAUAUAAACAAUAAACUGAAGUUCAACAUUUAUCCAUAAGAAUGAAACAAGAUAUCAAAUUUCUUUUUAAAGCAGUGAUUAGAAUUGGAUAUUCAUAUUUUUAUUUAAAAACCAAGGUUAGGCUGCUGAUCAGUCACGCACUAACCCCGAGCCAGGUACAUACCAAGCUCUAUCACUGGAUCCAAGGCACACAUUGGCCUAAUGACCACGAUUCUGGUCUGACCACGAAUCUGGUCCACAUUUAUAAAACCAUCCAAUUCUUUAACAAUAUAAUGAAAUCAACAAUAUCUCAAUAAAUCAGAAUCAAUCCCAUUUGAACAGAAGCAAUAUUACCAAAACAGAAUCAUAAUCGUCAAAUCAGAAUCAUUAUAAUUAGUGGUGCAAUACAUAUCAGGAUCAAAGGACAAUUCAGAAGUAGGUUUAAGUAUCCUCACAAUAUGUUUGAAGAAUGUCUUGAGGUUGAAAGAAAGAUCAAGUAUAUGGUGAAGCUAAUCUGAGGUUUUGUAGAGAAAACAAUGUAAGUGAGAAUAGCUUGAGGUUUCAAAUAUGUUUAACUUGUAGGAAUUUCAAGUGUUAGGGUGUAUAUGUGUGAACAUUCUUCAAAAGAGUAAUAUAGGUAUUUGGUAAGACAUUGUAUAAUUUGGUGAAGUAUUGUAGCAUAUAGGCUUGUACUGUUUGGUCAUUCAAGGAUGGAAGAAUAUCAGAGCAAAUGAUUUGUGUUGUCAAGUCUCAAAGAAAUGGGUAUAAGUUUAAUUGAAAUCAAAAUCAAGGUUCAGCUUGUAAUUCAGGUGUUGAAAGGAUUGAAUAAGGUUUAUCAAUAAUCAGGAUCAAUAGCACAAUAUAGCCACAGAUGCAUUUCCAAGUUCAUCCAGGAUAACAACAUCAUAUACAGAAGAGUGACUCAUGGAAUUUACAGAAGUAUAAGUUGAGAAUAGAGCACUUGCCUUAUUUGGAAGAUUUACUUCUCUUUAUAGCUUUCACUAAACAGAAUCACUCCAAUACUACUUGCUUUCCUUUCCUAAGCCUGUUCUUCUCUGAUUAUCACAAUAUUCAUCUAUCAAUACUCAAUCUCAUAUCAUUCUAUUUGUUUCAUAAUCGAAACAAGUUUCUAGCUACCUUUCGUUUCACUUAAAUCCGAUAGACGGUUCAAAAGAUACUAAUAAAACAGGCAUACAAUGUUUACAUAAGCAUUUCACAUAUCAAUCAAGUAACACAUAGCACAUAACACAUAAGUUAAUUAAUAAAAUAGCCUUUCAGAAAAGGCUUGGGGUUAAAAAUGAUUUUUCAGGUAUUUAUUAUGAAUUUUUAAACAUUUUUCGGAAUAAAAUCGGGUAAAAGAACCAAUUUAUACUUAAAUAAACGAGUUCGAAUACUCAUAAUAAGGUUCGAAAUCAUUUGAAAUCAAUUAACAAACCUUCAAUAUACUUUAGAAUAAUUUUCUAAAGCUUGAAACUAUUUUUCUGGAUUUUUAAAACAAUUAAAACAAUUAAAUCUAAUUAAUAAAUCAAUUAAAAUCAAUUAAUAAAUAAUUAAAACAAUUAAUCAAUUAAUAUUUAAAUUAAUUGACUAAUUAUAAUAAUUAGUUACUAAUUAAAGUUAAUUAAUAAAUUAAAUUAGAUUUGUUUUUGAAUAAAGAAAUAAUUAAAAACUAUUUUUGAAAAUAAUUAAAUGAUUUUCGAAAUUAAAAGAAUUUAAAAUAAAUCAGUUUUUAAAAGUUUUAAAACUUCAAGGUUUAAACUGCAAGUUUUUGAAACUUAAAGGUUUGAAUCGCAAGUUUUAAAACUACAGUGCUAAACUUUCAUCAUCUUCAAAAGUUCAGGGGAUAAACUGUAAAAAUUACGGCCGCCGCCCCCGAACCGCCGUCGGUCGCCAGAGGGGGAGUUCCCGGCCUCCGUUGGCGCUCAAAAAGUGCAGAUCGGCUCUCCAAGCCACCAGGAAUCUAUUCAUACAAUCAAUUUGAUCAACCAAGCUGUGGUUUGGCCGGAAAAUGGCGACGGCGAGUUUUCUUUCCUUCGAUUCCGGCCAUCCCGACACCUCACCCUACUUCUGAUACCACCAGUCGACUCCUCUACACAUCCCCAAUCUAUUCCACACUUCAAUUUACCCUUCUAACUCCAGAAUAACAAAACCCCAAUUUCCAAUUAAAAACAUUCAAACGGCUAUAAACCCUAAUUCCUAAUUCGAACAAUUAAACUCAAUUUUGAACAUGUUAUUGAACUCCAAAUCAUGCAUAUGAUAUACCAAAAUGAUCAGGAGAAGAUUAUCUACAACAUGAAAGCAUAAAAUCACAUAAAACACAUCAAAAUCAAAAAGCCCUAAUUUAACCCUAGUUAAUUCGAAUCGAAUUUAAAAACCCUAAUUACUUCUAACCUGUGAAUCUAGAGUGGUUUUUGAUGCUUGAUAUGGAUUCUACGCUUUGAUAUCUUCAAUUUAACUCCAAGAACACGAAGAACGAUAACUCGGUUUCUCUCGAUUCUCGUGUAUUGAAAUGAUAAUUAUGAAAAAUAAAAUAAUAAUUAUCCUAUUUAUAAUUACGAAUAACUGGCCCCCAUUUGGAUCAUACCGGACAUAAAAUACACUUCUUAAUCAUUAAGUAUUAAUAAAACUGAUCCGUUCGGGACCGACUUUGAAGAUAAAUAUUAAAUACACACAUUACGAGAAACUUAUGGGGCUCCGAGCUUUGUCUGGCACGAAGUACGAAAAUAUAAUGUUUGAGUCAAGAUAAUUUGGGUUGUUAAAAUUAUCCGGUGUACACAAUUAUUGAUACGAUAAAUAAUAAUAAAAUAUUCAUAAAAUCGUUCCGAAAAUCUUUCACGUAAAUCCUUACACCAGAUGGGAAAAGUUAAAACACGAAAGUUGUUCAGAAUGUCUCAAAUAACAAACCGGCGAAACUUUCCCGGAAGCCCCCCGGGGUUUAAUUAUCGAGUAAACGGGUUUAAAAUCAAUUUAAUAAUAAUAUUUUAUAAUAUACUUAAUUAAAUCCUUAAAUCAAAUAUCAAAUCAUAUAAUAAUCCAUAAUUUGCCAAAUGAGUGCCUAAAUUCUCCAUAUUUUGAUCUGAUCAUACAAAAAUUAUAAUUUAACAAGUCAUAACAUACAUAGACGAUCAUUCAACAAGUCACUUAACAUAUAAUUCACAAUUAAUUCACAUAAUAUUCACAAAAUAUUUACAUACUGGUAUAAAUAAACACAUGUCGAAAUCCCGGAUAUUACAUCCUUCCCCCCUUAAAAGGAUUCUGUCCUCAGAAUCUGCUAAGAAAAUAAGUGAGGAUAUUUCUCACACAUAUCACUUUCUAACUCCCAAGUUGACUCUUCAACUUUUGGGUUUCUCCACAAUACUCUCACUAUUUUCACCACUUUAUUCCUUAACACUUUCUCCUUCCUAUCUAGAAUCUCUAUUGGAUUCUCAACAUAAGACAAAUCUGCCUGAAGCUCUACUGGCUCGUAUUCUAUCACAUGCCUAGAAUCUGGAUGAUACUUCUUAAGCAUUGACACAUGAAAGACGUUGUGAAUAUGCUCCAUAUGUGGGGGUAACGCUAACUCAUAAGCCACUUUACCAACGCGCCUCAAGAUCUCGAAUGGUCCGACGUAUCUGGGACUUAGCUUUCCUUUCUUGCCAAAUCGGGAUAGUCCUUUCCAUGGCGAAAUCUUCAGUAAUACAGGUUCUCCUUCUUCAAAUUCCAUAUCCUUCCUGGCUUGAUCCGCGUACUUUCUCUGACGAUUCUGUGCUGCAAUCAGUCUUCUUUGAAUGGUUUCAAUAACUUCCUUCGUCUGCUGAACUAGUUCUGGCCCAAGUAGUUUGCGUUCUCCUACUUCAUCCCAACAUACGGGUGAGCGACAUUUACGUCCAUAAAGAGCUUCAUAAGGAGGCAUUCCGAUGCUUGCAUGAUAACUGUUGUUGUAUGAGAAUUCCACUAACGGUAGAUGUUCGUCCCAAUUGCCUUUAAAAUCGAUAGCACAAACACGUAGCAUAUCCUCGAUUGUUUGAAUAGUCCUUUCACUCUGACCAUCAGUUUGUGGAUGAUAAGCAGUGCUCAUAUUCAAUCUGGUGCCCAAGCAUUCCUGAAAGCUCUUCCAGAAUCUCGAGUUGAAUCGUGGAUCUCGAUCGGAUACAAUGGAGACUGGAACUCCGUGACGAACGACGAUCUCCUUCAGAUACAUAUGGACUAACUUGUCUAAUGAGAAUCUUUCGUUAAUGGGAAGGAAAUGAGCUGACUUAGUUAGUCUAUCUACAAUAACCCAUAUGGCAUCGUGAUUUGCCCUCGUUCUAGGUAAUCCAACUAUAAAAUCCAUCGCAAUAUGCUCCCAUUUCCAUUCUGGAAUCUCUAGGGGUUGUAACAAUCCACUCGGUCGCUGGUGUUCUGCCUUCACUCUUUGACACGUAUAACAUUUAUUUACCCACUCUGCAAUCUCUCUCUUCAUAUCUGGCCACCAAUAAUUCUCUUUCAAAUCUCUAUACAUCUUAGUGCUCCCAGGGUGAAUUUUAUAAGCGGAACUAUGUGCUUCACUUAAAACUUCAUCCUUUAACUCCUGUACUGGUGGAAUCCAUAUUCUAGAAGAAAAUCUUACAAUACCUUGCUCGUCUUUCUGGGUGCAUAGCUCUUCCCCAACCAAAUUAUUAACAUCCUGUUCCAUUACGGUCUCUUGACAUUUCCUUAUCUUUUCUAGUAACUCUGGUCGAAAAGUCAUUGUAUAUAAUCCAGCUUCUGAGGGUUCUCUCACUCUAACUUCCAAUUCCAGCCUUUCGAAUUCUCUAUAUAUUUCCUUGGGUAACGUCAAUACAUUCAAUCUCUCCUUUCUACUCAAAGCAUCUGCCACUACAUUUGCUUUUCCGGGGUGAUAAUUGAUAGUGCAAUCAUAAUCCUUUAUCAAUUCUAACCAUCUCCUCUGCCUCAUAUUAAGCUCUUUCUGCGUAAAGAUAUACUUUAAACUUUUAUGAUCCGUGUAGAUUUCGUACUUUUCUCCAUAUAAAUAAUGUCUCCAAAUCUUCAAUGCAAACACUAUGGCUGCUAACUCUAAAUCAUGUGUAGGAUACUUCUGCUCAUGGGGUUUGAGUUGUCUGGAUGCAUAAGCAAUGACUUUGUCAUGUUGCAUCAACACACAACCCAAUCCCUUAUGAGAAGCAUCACUAUAAAUUACAAAAUUUCCUUGUUCAUCUGGAAAUGAUAACACUGGGGCUGAUACUAACCUUUUCUUCAAUUCCUGGAAACUUUCUUCACACUUUUCAGUCCACACAAACUUUUCUUCUUUCCGGGUAAGCCUUGUCAUUGGUACAGCAAUCCUUGAGAAAUCUUGAACAAAUCUUCUAUAAUAACCUGCCAAACCCAAGAAACUUCUAACUUCUGUUGGUGUCCUUGGCCUUUCCCAAUUCAUAAUUGCCUCAAUCUUGGAGGGAUCUACUUUAAUUCCUUCUUUACUGACUAUAUGACCUAGAAAUUGAACCUCUUGUAACCAGAAUUCACACUUUGAAAACUUAGCAUACAGCUUCUCUCUUCUCAAUAUCUCUAAAGCCAUCCUUAGGUGGGUUGCAUGAUCCUCAGUGGUUUUGGAAUAAAUCAAAAUAUCAUCUAUGAAUACAAUCACAAAUUUAUCCAAAUAUGGUUUAAAGACUCUGUUCAUUAAAUCCAUAAAAGCUGCGGGGGCAUUGGUUAAUCCAAAGGCCAUCACUAAAAACUCAUAGUGGCCAUAUCGGGUUCUAAAAGCUGUUUUAGGUAUAUCUUCUUGUUUAAUCUUUAGCUGAUGGUAUCCCGAUCUUAAAUCAAUCUUCGAAAAACAUCUCGCUCCCUUCAAUUGAUCAAACAAAUCAUCUAUACGGGGUAAUGGGUAUCUAUUCUUAAUAGUUAACUUAUUAAGUUCCCGGUAAUCAAUACAUAACCUCAUACUACCAUCCUUCUUCUUCACAAACAACACUGGUGCUCCCCACGGGGAUACACUGGGUCUAAUCACUCCCUUCUCUAACAAAUCUUGUAACUGGGUUGCCAAUUCUUUCAUUUCUACUGGUGCCAUUCUAUAUGGGGCUUUAGAUACUGGUUCGGUUCCAGGUGCUAAAUCUAUUGCAAAUUCAAUUUCUCUAUCUGGAGGUAAUCCGGGUAACUCAUCUGGAAAUACAUCUGGGAACUCGUUUACUACAGGAAUAUCUUCAAGCUUCACAAGUUCUCGACUCUGAUCAGUUACAUAUGCUAUAUAAGCUUCACAACCUUGACGCAACAAUCUCUUCGUUUGAAUCAUAGUCAAAAACUUCUUUACCUGUUUCUGCCCUCGAAAUACUAUCGUCUUCUCAUUCGGUGUUUUUAACAUCACCUUUUUACUACGACAAUCUAUCUGAGCAUUAUGCUUCGAUAACCAAUCCAUCCCUAAAAUAACAUCAAACUCUCCCAACUUGAAAGGUAUCAAGUCGGCACAAAACUUAUUUCCUAAGAUCUCAACUUCACAAUUCCUAUAAACUUGGCUAACAGGGACACGUUCCUGAUUAGCCAACUCUAUAUUCAUAACCUCAUUAAGCAAUUCUAUAGGACAAUUCAACUUAGCCACAAAAUCUUCAGAAAUAAACGAUCUAGUAGCUCCACAAUCAAUCAAAACCUUGGCACAUAAAGAAUUCACAGUAAGCGUACCUGCCACCACAUCUGCAUCCUGGACUGCAUCUCUCAUAGUCAUGUUGUAGGUUCUGGCUUUAGGAACUUCUGGGACUACUGGAGUGGAUCCCAUAAUUCUAAGUGUAGGGUUACUUGGAGCUGGUACCUUGCAAUCCUUCACCAUGUGUCCUGGUUUUCCACACCUAAAACAUGUUAUCCCAGCUGCUGGAGUCCUAUUGGGUUGGUUCCUUGCUGGUUGAUCUCGAAUCAUUGGGGUCCGUGCUGGUGGGUUCUGACAUUCCCUAGAAUAGUGUCCCUUCUGAUUACACUUAUAACACACUACAUUCAAUCUAUUACAGAUUCCCCCGUGUCUCUUUCCACAUAUCUGGCACUCCGGCACUGGAGGCCUUGGUUGAUUUCCAAUAGCUGGACGGUUACCUUGUCCACUACCACCUACAUCUGGCUUCUUAAAAAUGGGAUUUCUCCCCUGCUGAAAUUUCCCUUUCUUCGGGUUGUUAAAGUUCUGAAACCUUGCCUGCUGAAACUGUCCCUCGUGAUGCUCUGGUUUACACUUCUUUCCCUCUUUCUCUUUCUGAGACAUUUCGCUUUCCGUUUCCGCUAUCAUUGCCUUCUGCACUACAGCUGCAUAAGUAUCUAAUUCCAAUAUGGCUAGCUUUCCCCUGAUCCAUGCUUUUAAACCCUGUUGGAAUCUCUUAGCUCUUUUCCUGUCGGUAUCUACAUAGGUUGAAACAAACCUAGCCAACUCAGCAAACUUUUUCUCAUACUCAGCCACUGACAUGUCCCCUUGCUUCAAUUCUAAAAACUGUAACUCCAUUCGAUCCUGGAGAAAUUGAGGAAAGUAUUUCUCCAAAAACAACUCCUUAAACCUAUCCCAAGUAACAUCCUCUGUCCCUUCCAUUGCUCUCACAGACUCCCACCAAUAGGUGGCCUCCUCUUUCAAAUAAUAACUAGCAAACUCAGUCUUCUGCUCAUCUCUCACUUUAACUAACACAAAUGCCUUUUCAAUUUCCUUCAACCAUAUCCUAGCCUCAAUAGGGUCCGCUGAACCCUUAAACUCUGGGGGAUUAACAGACUGAAAGUUUUUGAAAGUAACCUGAGGGUUAGCCUGCCUCUCCUGCUGCUGAGUCAGGUUGGCAGUCUGUUGGGCCAAGAUCUAAAGAAUCUGGGCCAUUGUAGGUUCUGGAUUGUUAUCAUCACGGUUGUUUGCACGGUUUUGUCUUCUGGGAGGCAUAGCUCUGUAAAGAAACAAGUAAUUUGUUUAAUCUCUAAAACCUUUAACAAUCGUUUUUAGAAAACAGAAUAUUUCUUUUUGAAAACAUUUUUAAUCAUUUAAUUAAAUAAAUCACAUGCUUCUUUACAGAACAGAGUGAUGAUGAAAGAAACAAGGUUUAUAUCAGGUACAAUUGGCAAGAUAAAUAAAACAAGUGCAAUAUGUAAAGUAAGUAAAACAGAUGCAAUAAGGUAAAAGACAAUAUGAAAAGGAAAGUUCUGAUAUAUAUAAAGAGUUGGAGGUACAUCAGCGCAAGCGCUUGUCAAAAGUAAAGCAGAACAUCCAACCUACACACUAGUCAGCACCGCUAGUCUAUACAGGGUCAAAAUUGGCUGACUAUAUACUACACACUACACACUAAUAUACAUGGUACCACCACUCUAUAACUACCACUAUCUAACUCCAAGGAAAAGUAGGACCUCCAAGCUUGUCCAACUCCUUCAUCAUCCAUAUGGCCCACUCUACUAGAUCACCGUAGGUACCCUGAUCUUCAGCUGCGGCACUAAGCUUUGCCCUUGCGAUCUCCCUGACGGUCACAAUCUCCUGCCUCAGCUCUCGCUCAGCUCUACCAGGGUCCAUCAUCUGGAUAACACGCUCUAACUCCCUAACCUGCCCAAGAAGGUACUGGCGCUCCAUCCUCAUCGCCUCAUACUCAUGGUAAGGAACAGGGUGCUGUGCAGUACGAAAGGAGGUAUGAACAGAGGAACCUCGGGUGGAACUGGGAGUACUGGGUGGGGGUCCAGGUAUGAAAGGCCUAGCACGAGAGGUCGAGGCUAUGUCUCCGGGAGGAACUACUGCUGCUGCAGCCAACACCUCCUCCAAAGUGGGUGAAACAGGAGGGCGAGGCUCUGGUACCUGAGGGGGUGGGGGUCCAUUAACAGUGGUGUCUGAAUGCUGGGGAUAUAGGGGAAUGAUAGGGUCUGACAUCGUGAAUACCUGAAAGUCAUAUGAUAAAACAUAUAUAAGAAUCCCUGAUAGCAAGAACACCUGUUAGUCACUAUUACUCACCUCUCAACAUUCUAUCUACCUAUCACUCACUUCUAAUCUUAACCCCUCUACCCAAACCCGAUAAUCUAGGCUUGUUUCAUUGACUCAUAACCUGUAGCUCUGAUACCAACCUGAGACACCCUCCAAAUCCGGGUCAUAGACUUGGGGGUCACGCAACAAUAUAAACCUGUAAACCAUAAUAAUAUAUGCAUUGACCCUAAACAUCCACGGAUCGCUCCAGGUAAUAGUAUGAAACAAGCCACAACUUAAGUUAUAUUACAAUACGUCAAAUCCCAAUUCAUAUCUUACAACUUACACACAUAAAACGCAGGGCUUACACACAACGAUACUCAAAAGUUUAUAAUAUCAGCAACUCCUAGCAAGGCUUCCCAACACUCAUCCUGAUACCUUAGCUUGAUGGCUAGCCUGUGGGUCCUCGCUAACAGUAGUCUCUUUCUUCACUGGAAAAGAAUAUAAGGCAUCGCAAGAGUGAGCUUACAGCUCAGCAAGUAAUAUAAACAAUAAACUGAAGUUCAACAUUUAUCCAUAAGAAUGAAACAAGAUAUCAAAUUUCUUUUUAAAGCAGUGAUUAGAAUUGGAUAUUCAUAUUUUUAUUUAAAAACCAAGGUUAGGCUGCUGAUCAGUCACGCACUAACCCCGAGCCAGGUACAUACCAAGCUCUAUCACUGGAUCCAAGGCACACAUUGGCCUAAUGACCACGAAUCUGGUCUGACCACGAAUUUGGUCCACAUUUAUAAAACCAUCCAAUUCUUUAACAAUAUAAUGAAAUCAACAAUAUCUCAAUAAAUCAGAAUCAAUCCCAUUUGAACAGAAGCAAUAUUACUAAAACAGAAUCAUAUUCGUCAAAUCAGAAUCAUGAUAAUUAGUGGUGCAAUACAUAUCAGGAUCAAAGGACAAUUCAGAAGUAGGUUUAAGUAUCCUCACAAUAUGUUUGAAGAAUGUCUUGAGGUUGAAAGAAAGAUCAAGUAUAUGGUGAAGCUAUUCUGAGGUUUUGUAGAGAGAACAAUGUAAGUGAGAAUAGCUUGAGGUUUCAAAUGUGUUUAACUUGUAGGAAUUUCAAGUGUUAGGGUGUAUAUGUGUGAACAUUCUUCAAAAGAGUAAUAUAGGUAUUUGGUAAGACAUUGUAUAAUUUGGUGAAGAAUUAUAGCAUAUAGGCUUGUACUGUUUGGUCAUUCAAGGAUGGAAGAAUAUCAGAGCAAAUGAUUUAUGUUGUCAAGUCUCAAAGAAAUGGGUAUAAGUUUAAUUGAAAUCAAAAUCAAGGUUCAGCUCGUAAUUCAGGUGUUGAAAGGAUUGAAUAAGGUUUAUCAAUAAUCAGGAUCAAUAGCACAAUAUAGCCACAGAUGCAUUUCCAAGUUCAUCCAGGAUAACAACAUCAUAUACAGAAGAGUGACUCAAGGAAUUUACAGAAGUAUAAGUUGAGAAUAGAGCAUUUGCCUUAUCUGAAAGAUUUACUUUUCUUUAUAGCUUUCACUAAACAGAAUCACUCCAAUACUACUUGCUUUCCUUUCCUAAGCCUGUUCCUCUCUGAUAAUCACAAUAUUCAUCUAUCAAUACUCAAUCUCAUAUCAUUCUAUUUGUUUCAUAAUCGAAACAAGUUUCUAGCUACCCUUCGUUUCACUUAAAUCCGAUAGACGGUUCAAAAGAUACUAAUAAAACAGGCAUACAAUGUUUACAUAAGCAUUUCAUAUAUCAAUCAAGUAACACAUAGCACAUAACACAUAAGUUAAUUAAUAAAAUAGCCUUUCAGAAAAGGCUUGGGGUUAAAAAUGAUUUUUCUGGUAUUUAUUAUGAAUUUUUAAACAUUUUUCGGAAUAAAAUCGGGUAAAAGAACCAAUUUAUACUUAAAUAAACGAGUUCGAAUACUCAUGAUAAGGUUCGAAAUCAUUUGAAAUCAAUUAACAAACCUUCAAUAUACUUUAGAUGGUAUUUAUUAUGAAUUUUUAAACAUUUUUCGGAAUAAAAACGGGUCAAAGAACCAUUUAUAAAUAAACAAUCCAUUUCUGGAUACUCGAAAUCACGUCCGAAAUCAUUUGAAAUCAAUUAACGAGCUUCAAUCAUAUUUUAGAAUAAUAUUUUUAAAGACUCGAAACUAUUUUUCAGAAUUUUAAAAUCAUUUAAAAUUAUUUAAAAUAAUUAAAUCUAAUUAAUAAAUCAAUUAAAAUCAAUUAAUAAUUAAUUAAAACAAUUAAUCAAUUAAUAAUUAAAUUAAUUGACUAAUUAUUAUAAUUAAUUACUAAUUAAAAUUAAUUAAUAAAUUAAAUCAGAUUUAUUUUUGAAUUAAUAAAUAAUUAAAAACAAUUUUUGAAAUUAAAAUAAAUGAUUUUCGAAAUUAAAUUUAAAUCAAAAAUCAUUUUUUUAAAACUUUUUAAAAAUCCAGGGUUUGAAUUGCAAGUUUUGAAAACUACAGGGUUUGAUUUGCAACUUUGGAAACUUCAGGGGUCUAAAUGUCAAAAAUGAAACUUGGGUGGCUAAACUUCACCACCUCCAAAAGUCCAGGGGCCAAACUGCAAUUUUGCAGCCGCCGCCCCUCGGCUUCGCCGGAGGUGGCGAUUCCGGCCACCAAUAGCCUCCAAAUGGUGCAGAUAUGGAGUAUCAAGCCUCCCAACUCAUCCAUACAAUCAAUUUCACCAGAAACGGCAGGAGAAGAUUAUCUACAACAUGGAAGCAUAAAAUCACAUAAAACACAUCAAAAUCAAAAAGCCCUAAUUUAACCCUAGUUAGUUCGAAUUUAAAAACCCUAAUUACUUCUAACCUGUGAAUCUAGAGUGGUUUUUGAUGCUUGAUAUGGAUUCUACGCUUUGAUAUCUUCGAUUUGACUGCUUGCACGCUCGAUUCUGACUCCGAUAACGUCCUCAAAUCUUCGAUUGAACUCCAAGAACACGAAGAACGAUAACUCGGUUUCUCUCGAUUCUCGUGUAUUGAAAUGAUAAUUAUGAAAAAUAAAAUAAUAAUUAUCCUAUUUAUAAUUACGAAUAACUGGCCCCCAUUUGGAUCAUACCGGACAUAAAAUACACUUCUUAAUCAUUAAGUAUUAAUAAAACUGAUCCGUUCGGGACCGACUUUGAAGAUAAAUAUUAAAUACACACAUUACGAGAAACUUAUGGGGCUCCGAGUUUUGUCUGGCACGAAGUACGAAAAUAUAAUGUUUGAGUCAAGAUAAUUUGGGUUGUUAAAAUUAUCCGGUGUACACAAUUAUUGAUACGAUAAAUAAUAAUAAAAUAUUCAUAAAAUCGUUCCGAAAAUCUUUCACGUAAAUCCGUACACCAGAUGGGAAAAGUUAAAACACGAAAGUUGUUCAGAAUGUCUCAAAUAACAAACCGGCGAAACUUUCCCGGAAGCCCCCCGGGGUUUAAUUAUCGAGUAAACGGGUUUAAAAUCAAUUUAAUAAUAAUAUUUUAUAAUAUACUUAAUUAAAUCCUUAAAUCAAAUAUCAAAUCAUAUAAUAAUCCAUAAUUUGCCAAAUGAGUGCCUAAAUUCUCCAUAUUUUGAUCUGAUCAUAUAAAAAUUAUAAUUUAAGAAGUCAUAACAUACAUAGACGAUCAUUCAACAAGUCACUUAACAUAUAAUUCACAAUUAAUUCACAUAAUAUUCACAAAAUAUUUACAUACUGGUAUAAAUAAACAGAUGUCGAAAUUCCGGAUAUUACAAGCACGCCUAUAUAUUGUCUAACCCAAUCUUAUGUGUCAGCCCAACUAGCACAUCUUCCUCUCCUAUCAGGAUUUGGCCCGCAAAGCAGGUCUUGAAUAUUUUUGAGUAUAACAACAACCCCUUGAUCUUGGUGGCAUCAGAAAUGUUGGCGAGAUCUAUUGUACUUCUCAGCUACAAAGUCCUCUUGUUUUGUUAAUUUAGAAACAUGUGAAAUUGUGAGCGCCCUCUAACUUGGCACGCCCCGUCUUGUGUACCGCUAGAAAUCUUUGGUUGGCCAACAGCUAUACCAUAUUUGUAAGAACUUAGAUUUAUUUUUCGUACCCUUUAUUUCAGUGAGUAUAAAUAUCCUCAGUUAUUUUCCACUUCUUCAUUUCUUUCAAAAAUCUAUACUUUUCCUACGCAACGUUGUCGUCACACAUUUCCGAGCUUUUCCGGCAAUCUCUGUGCUCCACUACAAGCUUUGCUAUCGUGGAUCGAUUCUCCUCUUCAUAAGGUACACUCUCAUACAUUUACUUCAAGUGUUCACCAAGUAGAUUGCUAGCUUCACGCAUUUGCCUUUUCACAUUCUUCACUGUUCUUGAUCCCUAUAUGUAUAUGUCGUAUAUGCGUAUCUGCUUGAUCCGUUUUUUCUAGUACUUAAUUUCAAAUUUGUGUUUGUGAUAACUGUUAUCUAGUAACUUGUCACGACUUGAUUUAAGACGCACCUUAUCUUAUAGGAUAUAUUCUCUUUGACUUGAUACCUCAUCAUAACAUCAUGACUUGCAUCGACUAGCUAUUAGAUCGCGCAUUGAUUUAUCAUAAUAAUAAUUACUAGGUCUUUCUUGAUGCCAUCAUUACAUUUCUUCUUUAUUUUCUUGAUACAUGACGUGCCCACAUCACCGCCCUUCCUUCACUUUUGCAGUUGGCUAAUCAAGGUUCGCCGUCUCAUCUGUUCCUCGUUCCUCUCUUUUCCUUGCCUCGUCCUUUUGCUUUCAUCGAAGACGGACUCCCUUCGUUUCUAAAGAUAUAUCGUUCUGAGUCAAUUACAAAUUCAUGACUAAGAGUGAAGCUUCAUCUCUUGAGCUUCAUGAGACCGGUCCCUAGACAUAGAUCUCAUCCUUGAUCAAGACGAAGAGGUCACUCGCAGCAGCUAUCGUUGAGGACGAACAUAUAUCAUCGUGACUGGUGAUGAGGAUUCUGAAGAUGUGCCUGAUAACGAGGCGGGGUCAGAUAAAUACGAAGUGGCUGACGCUCAAGCUGAAGAAGAAGCUCACACCUUUUACCAUGCCCUGGAUGAGGAUAAGGAGCGCCUUCCUUCCCUAAAACCAUCUCAUAGACCCUAUGCUUACCCUCCAAUUUCUAAUAGUGAGCUCAAUUUUGAAUGGGAUGAAAAUCAAGUCAUUCCCGAGACUGCUAAAGCUAAGAGAAGUUGUAAAGCAUAAUGUAACGUAAAUGUAAUUACGAUAACUCAACACAACAAAAGACAGGAAACAAUACGUAAGUAUAUUACAGGAAUCUACAGGUUGGAGAUUCGAUACGAACAGACAAAGACAAUCAAGAUAUCUGAGACGAGCAUCCGUCCACUGGAAGAAGUUCAUUAACAUGUUCAAGCCUCAGUGAAGAAUAAAGUUCAAUGUGUUUCUGCUAUCAAGAUUGCCUGAAGAUCAAGUAUCAAAGACCAGAAGAUUCCAGUAUAUUUAAUUUGAUUAUUUAUAAUCAAAUUUAUCGAAGCAACAUCUAACCCGGAAUGACUGAUCAAGUAUAUUAUCAAGCAAAAGAAUUCAAGGGAUUAUUUCAGUUCGAGUCGUUCGUGAACCAGACCAGAGCACAGGACGUCAGCACGUACGAAUGUAUUCAAUGGAUUCGAUCAACGAAUUAAUUGAUCAAGUCAAUCGAGCUACUCCAGAAUAUAUUGUCAAAGAACUCAUUAUUAUGUAUAUGUAUAUAUAUAUAUAUAUAUAUUAAUUGUGAAUUACCUGAAUUUAAAUGAUUCAAGUAAUUAUAUUAACACAAUUAAUAAUAUACAUAUAUAUACAUAUAUAUAUAUAUAUAAUGAUGCAAAUUGUAGUCGAAGGCAAAUUUGUUUAAGUACAAAUACACAGGGGAGGCUCCAAUGGAUUUGGAGCGCAAACUUUGACCAAGUCAAAGUUUGCGCCUCCACAAUCCUUACACUUAGAAAUAUUCUAAGUCUCCACUGUCACACUGAAGAUGAAUGUUGUGGCGCAAAGUUUGACUUUGGUCAAAGCGCGAACUCAGCUGUUUUACUUAGAAGAAAUUCUAAGUACAAAAGCUCUAAUACAUCCACUGUAGAGCGCAACUAUUGACCAUCCUCAAGGCGCCAUGUUUGACCAAGAAGAAGGCGCAACAUUUGACCUUCUUAUAAUUCUUCUAAGUCACAUACACUGUUAAACACUACUGGCGCCAACUUUGACCGAGGCGCCAACUUUGACCACAGUGGAGAGAAUAUGUAUAUGGAGCGCAACUUUCAUAUACAUAUAUUUAUAUAUAUAUAUGUGUAUAUGAAAGUGGCGCCAUCUACAAUGCUUAUUGGAGUUAGAUUUAUUUUUAUAAAUCGAAUCCGUCCAAGACGAACUCAAGUCGUCCAAGACGAAUUCGUUAACCAUGGUUAGUUGUUGGAAAGCCUAUAAAUAGAGCUUGAUGUUUUCAUUUGAAAACAACUACACACUUUGUAAGUGCACACACUAUACACAUUCUCGAGAGUUAAAUUAGAAGAUCGUUUUUAUCGAGAGUUUGUAAUAGAGUGAUUGUAGUCUCUGCAGCCGACACUUGUGUUGGAAUUUGUAGCACCCGAGGAUUAUUUCUAAUACAAGAAUAUUCCCCGACUUGCUGGAGUUAUUUAUUUACGAUUGAUUUAACAUGGACUGAAACAAAGAUUAUCCGCAAUUAAAUUAAAUCGAAGAAAUUGGUACGACGUAUUCAACCCCCCCCCCUUCUACGUCUGAUUGGACCUAACAGAAGUAAGAAAGUGGGGAAGCUCGCUUGUGUGGGAUUUUCCUCCAUAGCAUCUGACACCGAGAUUGAAUGGUGGUGUCUUAAAUACUAUGAUAUGGGACGCAUCUGGGUGCUCCCACAUCCUAACAUAAAUACAACAUGUAUUUAACCAUAAUCCCAGAUUGAAAAUCCCAUGUACUUACUUCCAAGCUGGUAAAACUUGGUAUCGGUCUCCCCUACAUCAAUACUUCAAAUCUAUUAUUGAAUAUUUCGAUAUCGCCCCGACUCAAAUUUAUCCAAAUGGCUGGAAGCUUGCCAUUACUCUAUACAUGCUCUAUGAGGACCACAAUCAUUUUGAGCCCACGAUGUCGGACUUGAGCUACUUAUUCGGAUUGGGCACGACCAGUAUUGGUUAUUACUACUUGGUGGUAUGAAGAACUCACAAUCUCACUAGUUGGUUUGAGGGUAGUACUAGCAACACCAAAUCAUGAAAAUAACCUUUUUUUACGCCCGGCCAGACGAGCGGAUCAGGACGCAAUUUAACACUACUCCGAUUAAGUAUUUCAUAUGUUGGCAUGUCAUGAUUCGUCUUUACCAUUUACCGUUAGUCUUUUACUAGUUACUCAUUCCGUCAUUUUUUUUAAUUAACAAAAAAAAAGAAAAAAAGAAUGAGAAUUCAGUCCUUACUCGGUGCGCCAAGAAGCAUGCUGAUAACAUUAUAAAUCUUACAAGGCAAAGAUUAUUAACAAAACAAGAAAAUUUUCAUUCUUAGUUUAAAGUCCGAAUUUUAAACCAAGUCGAACCAUCUCUUAUCCACGAACUGUGCCUCACCGGGGGUGUUUGGCAAUAGCUUUUAAGCCCAGUUUCCGAGUUUAUAAGUUAUAAGCACUUAUUUGUACCGUUUGCGUAAAAAAUAAGAAGUACUUAAAAGAAGUUAGGAUUACUAGUUUUUGUUUCAGGACUUCUACUUAUUUUCCAAACAGUUUAAUUACUAAUAAGGGGCCGUUUGGAUGAGUUUAAAAUAAGUGCUUCUUGCUUAAAAUAAGUCUUAACUUGCUUCUGACUUCUACUUUAUUUUUAUACUUUAAGCAAAAAACACUUAUUUUAAUCUCACCCAAACGCCCCCUAAAUACUUUCCCUUUUUAUAAUUUUGAUAGCCCAACAAAAAAUAUUUAUGGUUGAUUGUCCGCACUCCACACCAUUCCCAAAAGCCCAAAAUUAUAUACAUGUAUAGUCACCGCCUACUAGACCACUCCAUGGUGUACACUGUACCCCAGCUUAUACAUACAUUACUACUGUAUAUACACACACAUAAAUACACGCUACCCUGUAACGCCGUUUCUGCAUACGUCACCAGCGUCUAUUCCUCUCCUUCUCCCACUUUCUUCUUUCAGUCCACCACUUUCUCUGCCACCAAAAUAAUAGUAAUAAACACACCUGCCUAUAUAUACACAUAUAUGUAAAUAUAUAAUUUGACAAGGGUCUUGUUUUAUUUUUGAAAGCUUUGUAGAGUUGUGAUGAAUCUUGGGUUUCUUGAAAUAUCUUGUUUCUUGAUGGAAUUCUGAGAUUUGGAGAAUUUGGGUCUCCAAGAUUUGGGAUUUGCUACAAGGGUUUGGAAGGUUUUGGAUUUUGAUGGCUAUUAGAGGAGUUGAUUUUAAGUGGUGAAUUCUUGUUCUUGGUUAAAAAUGUUGUUUUUUAACUUGUUUUUGUUGAUUUUUUUGUAAAAAUUGUGGGUUUUGCAGGUAUGAUGGUUUUUUCUUGUCAAUGCUUGCAACUAGUAUGUAUCCUUUAAGGACUUAGCUUGGAAUUAUUUAUAUAAUGUGUGUGUAUAAAUGCAUAUUAUUUUUCCAGUUUGUGAAUUGUCAAGUAGUUAUGUGUUUGUUGAACAAUUCACUUCCCUCUUUUAUGGUGUUGAGAAUUGAGUUUUUCUCUCUUUUAUAAUUUUGUUAGUUUCAUGUCAGUUAAAUUGACAUAUAUUAAAAUGAACAUAUAAUCUUAAACUUAAAGGUAUUUCUUUUCCAAUAAAGGACUCCUUUUCGGUCAUAAGGUUUUCUUUGUCAUUUUCAAUUUUAGUCACAGUAUAUAUUAUAGAUGAUCAAUAAAUAUUUGGGCGUGUUUAGGGCAAUGGUUGUUUAAGGCAUUGGCUUUGUAUUCUAGCAUGUAGUCUGCUGCCUUGGUAGGGCAUUUCUAGUAUUUGAUGACGCAUUGAUAGGGCAGUGGUUGUGGCAUUGGCAUUGAUUUUAGCAUGUAGUCGUCUGCCUUGGUAGUUUGAUGAUGCAUUGAUAACUUUUACCUUGCUGUGUACAUGUGUUUGUAAAGUGCUUCUGUUGGUUUCUUAACACGAUAACUACCAGAAUCAUUGUGGCGAUCAAUUGGAAGCGGUACCAUUAUUGUGAAUAUCCAUUGCAUAUAUGGAUUGUGGUGGGUAUUUUCGAAAACAUCUUGUAAAAUAUAUGUUUCUAGUAGCUUCUUACUUCACUCUACUAAGUUUAUAUAUCCAUCUUGCUUUACUGAACUUAUAGGUGGACUACACUACUGUGUUUGUUUUUCGGCUCCUCAUGUUUGUGGAUAAUGGCCUUGCCUCAGGAAUGGGAUUGUAAGGAUUCCUAUCUUAUUUACUUCUUUAAAAGUGGUGUAAAUGGUAGCUUAGUUAAGCACUCCCUUGCUCAAACAUACUGAGUAUCUUGUGGUAUUGGGUUGCUUCUGCUUUCAGACACGAUAAGCUGCUAACAAUCAAUAUAUUUGUUCGUAGAAAGCAACAUAGUUUCCAAGAGGGAAGCCUUAAAGGAAGAGCUUGCUCUUAUUUAACAAGCAAAUUUGUAUUGCGGAUUAAAGCAAAAUACAGUAUAUAAUAAGAAUGUCAGUUAGGAGCCUUGGGUUACAAUCUUCCCUAAGGCUUUAAUAGAAGUUUGCUGUACCCUUAUUUUGAAUAUCCUAUAUACUCUCUCAACUUGUUAAGUGAAAAUAUAACCGAAAUUGAGCAUACAGUAAUAUACCAAAAAAAGAGAGUAUACUCUAUCAACCAAUCCAAUGAGAAAUAGUCUAGGGAAAGUUCUGUGUUCUAAAACUACACUGGCUACAUAUAAAACACUAUGUUAUUUUUAUCUAAUAGGAAAUCAACUAACUCAGUUAAACAUAUCUUAUUCGACUCUUUUUUAAUGGCUAUAACUAAAUUUCCCUUUCCAUGUUUAUUAGGUUCCAAGUAUAUCCUAUUAGUAAUGCGAAUCAGACACAUCAAGUACAAGCCUGAAAUAAAAAAACUCUAUUUUCCAGAUUUCACAGAGGAAAAUGAAGUAAAAAGUCAAAUUAAAUGAGCUAAUUAUAGUUUUGUCACAAAACAUGAUUAUUAUCAUCAUCAUUAUUCAGGUGUUAGCUAUUCAUAUCUUUUCUGUCCUUAUACUACUGCUUUGUUUUGAGGCUGCAAGUUUUUUAGAGCUGUGGUACUGAGCUCACAUCUUUGUUUUAUUCUUCUGGUACUUUGGGUCCUGUGGUAGGGGUUCCGUGAUUUGUGUCUGGGAUUGAAGUUUCCAGUCUUUGGCUAAUUUUAUUUCUGUUUGCAAUUUGGAUUCUUUGUUUUUUGUUCAAGUGUAUAUAUCAUGUUGCUAAUAGUAGAGUAUAAGUUCAUUAAAAUUAACCUAGCUUGAAUUAAAUCAACAUGAUCCAACUAAUUGAAAUCAUAAGAACUUGCAUAUAAAUUGGAAGCCAGUCUCAAGAAUUUGGUUAUUUUAGUGUUGAUCUUAUUUCCUUUGAUAAUGGUUUUGAUGUUCAGUAGCACAUAUGAUACUUCCAUUUAUCCAUCUUUUAUGAUACAGGGAUUUCGGUUGGCAGCAAAGAUAUGCUCGGUUUUGUGGAAGGGUUGUAGUUCUUUCAAUUCUAUCUCUGCUACUUUAUCCUUUCCUCUGGGCAUGGACUAUAAUUGGUACUCUGUGGUUCACUAGCGCAAGAAGCUGUGUAAGUUUCUCAUGUUAAUUUCGUCCUUUUCCUAGUAUACCAAAACAGUUUAAAGAAGAUUGUGUUUAAAAUAUAUUGCAGUUGCCCGAAGAAGGUCAGAAGUACGGGUUCCUUAUUUGGUUGCUUUUUAGCUAUUGUGGUCUCAUCUGCAUUGCAUGCAUGUCCAUCGGGAAGGUUUGUUUUCUUUAUUUAGUAUGACUUCAAAAGAUAGAGAAAAAAUUUAGGUGGAAGUUUCAUGUACAUUUUGCAAAUGGUCAAGGAUUUAAUUACUGUUCUUUCAAAAUGAUGAACUGUAUGGUAAGAUCAUCCAAAGAUGAAGCUUAUGCUUGGUCUUUGUGUUAUAUGUUUUAACAAUUUAUUGUUAUAAAAUAUAUUUUGCAGUGGAUUACUAGAAGACAAGCUCAUCUAUUGCGUGGUGCACAACAGGGGAUACCUAUCUCACAGUUUGGGGUAAGGCUCAGCAGAAAGUGUCAUGUUUUUUUUCCUGUUUUACCCCUUUUGACACAUUAAUAAUACCCUGAAAUGUGCAGGACUUUUUCUUUUUUCAAAUAUAGAAUAUGGAUCAUGGGUUUUGUUGACUUGUGUAAACUAGGUAGAGAUACAUUUUUCUUGGUAGGUUUAGAUCACUUAACAUUUCUCUUUUUGGCAUCUUAACUGGCAGCAAGAUAUUUUAUGUAUCUGAUGUGAUGUGCCAGUUCAUAUCAUACUAUUAUGUUUGAUAAAUAAGUUGAUUUCUAGGUUAUUGAACACUCUUUUUUGCAGGUGUUGGUUGACAUGAUCAGGGUACCAGAUUGGGCAUUCGAAGCAGCUGGGCAAGAGAUGAGAGGCAUGGGCCAAGAUACUGCUGCAUACCACCCAGGGCUCUACUUGACGCCAACUCAAGUAGGCCAAGACUGUUCUAAAUCAGUUUAUAUUAAGGAUGAAGUUUCUGCAUGCAUGCACUUGUUAGGCUUAUAACACUUGAAUUCAUAAUAUGGACUUUUGAUAAAUCAUGUGUACACACACAAUUAUAAAAACAUGUGUGUAAUAGACUUGUGCCAUAUGAAGUGUAACACCCACUUUUGUAUUUAUCAUUAUUUGGAUGGAAUGUGUGCAACUUUUCUUGGUAAUCACUUUUUAACUGUGGAAGUUCUUUUUCUGCUGGCAGAGAGAAGCAGUGGAAGCGCUUAUUCAGGAACUGCCAAAGUUCAGGCUUAAGGCUGUUCCAACCGAUUGCAGUGAGUGUCCAAUCUGUUUAGAAGAAUUCCAUGUUGGAAAUGAGGUAAUUGUUUCUGUCUAUGGUACUUUUAGAUGGCUGUUUUUUUUUUUCAAACGAUUUGGAGAAGAUUUGUAGAUUCAUUCUGCCAUUGUGUUCCAUCUAGGACAUAGACAGUUGUAUCUUUUGAUUUUUUUCAGAGAAGUUGCUGUUUAGAAUAGCAUGUGACAUAGGAUUUAUUGACGUAACAUGGCGCUGAAAACAACCAAGUGACAGUUCACUAAGUAUCAGUUAUCCAUCUUCUUGUUCAUUGGUAAUUGUACUAAUGCAUGUUCAAUGCAGGUUAGAGGUCUUCCUUGUGCUCAUAAUUUCCAUGUGGAAUGCAUUGAUGAGUGGCUUCGUUUGAAUGUAAAAUGCCCCAGAUGUCGAUGUUCCGUCUUUCCAAACCUUGAUCUCAGUGCACUAUCCAGUAUUCGUGCUGAUAGUGAUCACUCACCGGCUGCUGUUGUGACAGCAGCUCCUUAUGUUAGAACACAACCUCCUAGCCAAAGCUAUUUGCUGAGAUUGCAGGGCUUGCUUCGGCAAGUUGGUACAGAGAAUGGCGGGAAUGCAGAUUUGGCUUUAGAAGCUGCUGAAAAUGGUGUUUUGCCUGUACUAAUGCAGCCAAACAGAAGCCCUGAGCCUGGGCGAAUGCGUUCCUCCUCACUUGAACACUAAUGUGAAUGGUUUUGCUGCAGUCUUACAAAUUUUACUUAUAAUAUAACAAGCAACAAAAUGGGACUAAAGAAGAAGUGUAUGGAUAGUUUAUGUUUUUGGAGUCAAAAACUGUAGUGGCAGUUUGGGCCACCAGUCGGAGAUGGUGCUUUAUUGUUGUGCAUAUUUUCAAGAAUUAUGUGAGAUUUUUGGCCCAGAUAUCUAAUUGUGUAUUUGAAUUACAAAUAUAGGAGUAGUUACCAGUAUUUUGCAGUCAUAUUGAUUUGUGUAAGUUGUGUGUGUUUAGGGCAAUACUCGUCUUUAAAUUCUGUAUAAGCCAAUAGUCAUGGUCUUUAGGAGACAAUUACAGUACACAUGAAAAGUUUUCUUAUUUAUUAUAGACCCAAUUGCAUUCCAUUUUUUUGUUGAAAAAGGAUCAAUAAUUUAUUGAAAUUCUUUUAAUUCUCUAUCUGGGAUGAUAUUCAUUUUUCGUAUAAACAAGUCCUCAGUGUUUUGAUGGAGUAACUAUUUAUUUUCUUUCUAUACCGUGAAUAUUACAUCCUAAACCAAAAUCAGUGUUAAACGGUGAGAUAACAAAUAACAAUUUUUUUUGAAGUGAUGACUCAGAAGUUCAAAUUUUUGGACUUAAUAAUUUGAAAAUAGAUUUGAAAUAGAUUUCGAAAGUUCUCUUACUUCAAAUAAUAAAAUUUCAAAAUUUUACAAAAAAGAACAUUUUAAAUUUCGUGUGGCGGAGAUUUUGGAAAUUUUUGGUAUUAUUUUUUUUCUUAGACCAGAAAGCUUGGUAUGAACCCACUAAGUUUGAAGAGAAACGGUAGAUAUCCCAAAUUUUUCUCAAGUUGUCGAUACAUUGAUGAUUAUUUUUUUAAUAAUAAUAAUAUGGAAUUCCGCGUAUAUACAUAUGCCCCCAAAUUAAAAAUUUGUCGUGUGUUAGGUCACAUCAUUAAACAUAAAUUAUUUGGGGUACUUGGCCCUAGUCAAAUUUGAAACUAACUGCUUAAGUAAAUGUUUUUAUCAAAUAUUCAAAGACUUGAAUGAACUUUGUUCUGUUUUACCACCAGAAAUCCCACAAAUGACAUACAACUGAAACUGAUAUGGCUGAGUCUAAACUAGAAGCAUUGGAAUAUUAAUCUUUUAUAGCCAGAACCUAACCACUAUUCUGUUGAAUAAGAUUAGCUUGAUAAAAUGAGACCUAUGCACAGGUUUGACAUAGAUUUGAGGAACUGAAAUGAUGUAAAAGAGGAUGUUUGUCCUAAGAAAGAUGUUUAACUUGAUGAGAAGAACAAAGUAGUGAAGUUAAGAUUAAUUGAUAAAGGAUAAAGGAUAAAGUUGAUAUUCCCUCCUCCCUUGGGUAUUUCUUUUGCUAGCAAUCACCAAUUCUUCCUUUUCGCUGUUGCAACUUGCUUGUUCAAUCUUUACUUGAUGCUACAAAAGACUGCACCAAAUAAAUUUUUCGCUUUAUUAGCUCAUUAAUAUCAACACACAUUGCAGAUACAGAAUUCAGGUUGAAAUGCUCAUGGUAAGCAUGAGCUAAGGGAACAGAAGACUCACAACUAAACAAAUUACAAAUGGCUGGUUACAUUCAAAACAGUUGCCCUGCAGCAGGGCAGGAACAAAGUGGCUUCGGUUAUAUAGGAUUUAGGUCUGGAUCAGCUGUCCAGAAUCCGCUUAUUAAGGACAAUAACACAAGUAAACUGAUCAUACCAUCUUUAUAUUGAACCUUUGCAGUCAUUUAAUUCGACAAUUGUCAAAUGACCUUUUCCUUCUUUGUAUGAUUCUCAAUUUUUACAAGGCACCAUUACCAGAAAGGAUGCAUCAGGACUCUAGUGUAAAGAUAACUCAGUCAGACAACGGAACCAGUUACCAAACAGAAAAAUCACAAAACUUAUUACUACCCUUAACCUUUGCCAAACUAUUCUAUAUUAGUUUCACUUAUAGAAUGACCCACUCUGCUAGUCUUUCAAAUCUCAAAAGGACUUGCAGACUUCCGACACAAAGGUCAGAAACCGUGUUCCAUACACAGUCUCGAGAACUAGAAGACCUCUAGAUAACUGGUGGUGAUGCCAUGAGUACCAAAAAGUUGGACAUUUGUCAUAACAUCGAAGAAAAAGGUUAUUCAAAUUCCCCUAUAAAAAAGACCCAUAUAUAAUUUAACAGCUCUAUAAACAUCUCCAUACCUUGUUCCUGUAAGAUCUUAUGACGGUUGCUAACAGUUUGUCUCCAGCUAUAUGUCGAACUCGCUGUAUUAGUUCAUGCCGUGAGAUCUUAUUCUCCUGGAGUGAGCAUCAAACAAUAAGUUUGUUAGACAAGGAUGGUGCAAUAAAAGCUGAAUAUUACAGAUUUCUAAAUCCAUACUCUAUCAUUGCGGUGAAGCUUGAGAUUCAAACUGAUAAGAACUUACUCUAUUAUCACGGUGAUGCUUGACGAUCAAAUUGAUUGCAUCAGGAGGCAAGAUCUUCGCCAAACUAGCAAUUAGAGUUGGAAAUGGCAUCCAAGGUGAAGUUGGCUUUCUUUGGGAAACCUGAAUCCUCUGAUAAGCUGAACAAAUUGAAAGGGCAAGCAUAAUCAAUACUCAAACCAAGCAUGCGAAUGAACUUAAUUAGUCGGGUGAUCACUCACCUUCUGUGCAAUUUUGAGCUCUGAAAGUGAUGACAAAUUGUGGCAAAAUGUGGGUGUUCAUCAGAGUAGGCCAGACAAUAUACUUGUUUGGAUGUACUAAGUCGUCGACUCCAGAAUCAAACUCACUGGAACUUGGAUGAGAUUGUUGGGAACCAGGGUGGACAAGUUCCAGGUUCCCCAAAAGAACUUGACAGAGCAGAAGAUGCCUCAGUCCAGCAUCAUCUUCCACAGCAAAUUGCAAACUAUAAGCACAUAAAAACCCACCCAUUAAUUACCUCACAAGAACUUAAACUAAAAAUAUACUCCUUCCGUCCUCUUUAACAUGACUUUUGCCCAGUCAAAUUGACUAUAUUUUGUCUGAAAUUUACAUGUAUCAUAUAAUUGAAAAUAAUAAUAAUAAUAAUACCAUUAGAAAGUAUAUUUAGUUUAUUUUAAUAUGCAACUUUCAGAUUUUAAAAAUAAUGAAUAAAUAAUUUGUAAUGUUUAGUCAAAAAUUGGUCAAUUUGCCUCCUCGAAAACCAAAAUGAACAUGUAAAAGAGGACAGAAAGAGUCCUAUUUACGAAAAACAGAGUUCAACAAAGUCACUGACCUUUCAAAGGGAGAAUCAGCGGGAGACAGAUAAACCCCAGAAGCAUUUUGAGUCAUUUGACCAAAACCAUAAGCAAGAAUGUUGUGAAUUUCAUGCUUAGAACCACCAUACCAAGCAUACUUCACAUUGGCAUCCCCUCCAUUCUUCCUCUCCAGAGCUCUUUGAAACAACCGAAACGACUGAAACCGAGCUUCACAAGUAAGACCCGAAAACAGAUUCCUAUGAAUGGCCUCAGCUCUGAAAUUCCCACCCAAGCCUGAAACAAGCUUUCGAGCAAUAGUUUGGAAUAGAGCUGUAUCUUCAUUCACCUUGAUCAUUGAUGGAAACUCAGAGUUUUCACAACCACUACUACUACUACUACUACUACUACUACUACUACUACUACUACUACUACCUGGAAUCACACUACUCUCACAGUCAGAAGCUGAAGAAUCUUGAUAAUCAUGAUGAGUGUAAGAUUCUUGAUCACUAGUGUAUUCAUCAGAAGCUAGAGCCCUGAUCUCAGUUAAACUUCCAACUGGAACAUAAUAUAACUGGAAACGAGGUACCAUAAUAUAGGUGAGAGGUGAACAAGUUGUAAAUUGUAAUAACAAAGUGUAGAAACAUAAAACAAGUAUGCAUGUACAUAUAUAGUGGAGAUUGGGGUGGGGGCAUUUCUUGAAGAAGAGGGUUUUGCUACUUGAGGUAGUACCGUUGUUUAUUACUCAAAAAAUCAACAAACCAGACCAAACCAAACCAUCGGUGAUGAUAUAAUAAUAUUUUUAUGUUAUUUGCACCCAGAAAUAGAAUGGGCGGCCGCAAAUUGUUUAACUUUGUGUCCACGCACACAGAUUUUACUACCAAGACAACAAUGGUCUCCCAUUUAUAUAACUUUCGCCUUCGUGAUGGGUGCAACAUUUUGUAUUGGAUGAGUUCUAACAUAAGUAGGAUAGUGCCGAGCUCAUAUUUGGUAGAUUUUUAAUAUUUUUAAUCAAACUCCUCUUCAAUUUACUUGUGUAGUUUUAUUAUUUUAUAAAUCAAUUAUCAGUUGGUCCAUUGUAUUAUUGGAUGGUUUUGAACAUGGGUUUUGGUCCCCACAACCAUUUGUUAGGAAAACCUUAUCUAAAUGCAGCUUCAUUAUCAUCACAUUUGUAUUUCAAGAGUCUAAAUUAAAUUAUUUUGUUUACCGAUCCGUUAUAAUUUUCCGCGGAUCGGAAUUUUUCCUUUAGCGGAUCGUUAAAAAAAGUUUCAAUCUGUACCCUUGAAAUAAUGAUCCGACAUCUGUUAGAUAAACUGUUUCUGACAAAUGAUUGUCAGGUAUGAGGCUCCUUCUUUCUAAAAUCCAUUUUUGUGUGUGACAUAAAAUGAAACACGUUGAAAAUAGAAAGAGAUUCUCAGACUGCAGAUGGUCUCAGCUCCGUACACUCAUCCUAAAAUCAUGAUGCAUGAACGUAUGAGAAUCUUGCCCAAAACUUUUCUCCUUUUCAAUGAACUAACUAAGAAGUCGCGGGUUGUAGUGGCGUAUAAAAACUAUAUUAAUGAUUUAAAAUCAAUAUUUGUAGAAUAAAAUAAAUUUAUAUUAUAAACAUCUCGAUGCAAUACCAAUAUUAAUAUAUAAAAUUAUAAAAUUGGACUAUAAUUCAUGAGUGAAAAAUUGAAAAUAAAUUUCUACAUGUAAUUAAUAUUAAUAAUAUUUUGUAUGGAAAAAAAAUACUUGAGAGUAUAUCCUUAUCAUGAAUAUGAACAUUAAUCAUGUCGGGACGUAUGAACUCAAAUCCAUGCAGGGGUAUAUUAAGGAGUCCAUGAGAUAGUGGUUUAUAACUACUCUUACUUGCAACAACCAUUAUUUUUUUAAUAUUGUAUAAACAACCUUCACUUAAAAUGUGUUAGAACCGAGCAAACAGAUAUUGUGAAAGUGUUACAUGAAUAAUAUUUUCGUUUAUACAAAGUAAACCAUAUAAAAUUAAAAACAAACAUGUAUGAUGAACAAACCAAAUAUUAUAAAAGGAUAACCAACAAACAUAUAUGACUAACAUUAAUUUAUUAACCUCUUCAUCCAUCAAUAUCAUGUCAAGACUAUAUUUUCCUCUCGUGUUUGGAUUUGUCGACUCCACAUUCUGACAAACUCUUACUAUUAUCAGCCAAUCAUCUAUAUUGUCAUUCAAAACUCUAGCAUAGUAUAGCUCAUUAUUAUAUUAGAUGGAGAAAAUAAAUAGGCAUAAAAAAUUAUUUAUGUUAAAAUUUAUGAUGUUUAACCUCAAUUUAUACGGGUUGAUUUGAGAAAAGGCCGGCUUAUCAAAAAUAUUUUCUAUUUUUAAGAUACACCUGUUCCAAAAAUAUGAUCAUGGUUUUGGAAGAAAAGUAAGUCUUUUUCUGUAUCAAAAUAAUUGAAAAGAAAUUUCAAAUUAUGAUUUGAUAUUUAUUAAGGUAGGUACAUUUUAUUUUUGAUCUAUUGAAAAAGUAGUUUUGAAACUUUUUCCAAUAUAUCCGAAACUAAAAAAGGUAAUUUUUAUUUUUGAUAUUUUUAAAAUUAAAAUCAGAAUUUGAAACUUUCUUCCAAUAAUUUUGAUACUAGAAAAUGUAGGUAGAUUUUAUUUUUGAUAGUUUGAAAAAGUUAGUGCUGAAACUUACUUCCAUUAUAUUCAAAACUGAAAAAGGUUGUUUCCAUUUUUGAUAUUUUUCAUCCAAAAAUUACAAAAAAUUAGAAAAAUAGAACGGAACUAUAGAACGGAACGGAACGUCUAAAUUUGCUGCUGUUAGGACCGAGUCUAGUUGGAAUCAACCGUCAACAACCAUAUCCUCUACCACCUCUUGAUUCAUGCAUUCCAGAAGGACUUAAAUCUCUUGUGUGUCUUUUAAUCCUAUAUCUAUUAUUUUCUGGAGGAAGAAGUCUGUUGAUCCUGUUACUAUGUCACUUGAAGAGAGAGGAGAGCUGCCAUCUAACGACAUCUUGAAAGCACUCCUUCGAUUCAAGUGUUUAGUAAAAAAAGAAGAUAAGGUUUCUCUCAUACCUCUUUUGGAACUUCUAAAGCUGAUGAUGGCAGUUGAAGCUAUGCAUAAUACUAAGAGAGUUCAUGGUCAUCCUUCUCGAAUUAUCAUGACAAUCGAAGGUAUGAAACUGAAACUGACUUUCAAGAAAUUGAAGAAGAUGAAGCAUCUCACCUCACUGGAGAAGUUAAAUAAGAAAUUUGAGAAUCCUCCUCCAAUCAAUGCUUUGGAACAAUUAGCACUUAAUAUCAUAACUGCUAGAAUUCAUGAGAUUGAAAGCAUGUGCACACAAGUUCGGGAAGAGAGGACUGCUAAGAAAAUAGCAGAUGAAGCAAAGAUCAAUGCAAAAGCCAAGAAGUCAAAGAUGAAUUAGUUCAGUCUAGAGGAACAUUGACUAUUUGUAUUUACUUUCGAAUUCUAGAAAAUAUAGGAUAUAAUCUAGACUAUACUUAGUAUUAUUUCCUGUUUAAUUAGUGUGCUUUUUCUGUGUUAGUUAAGUUAUCCUUUAAAGGAUUUGCUCGUCAAAUUUUAACAAACAAACUAGCGUAAAAGCCCGUGCAAGGCACAUGCCUCAAUUUUAGCUCAAUUUUUACUACAAUAUAUAUUUGAACACCGGCUCCAGAAAAAAGUCUGAAAAAUAGCUAAAACUUUCAGUAUGAAUAAGAAUUUUAAAAAAUAGAAGCAAAUACCCAAUGAGAGUUGAGGAAUGAGUAAGGAGGGUUAUUGGAUAAAUCUAAAACUAAAAAAAAGGAGGGAUAUAAGCAAGUGCUCAAAUACAAACUUGUUAUUGUACAAACGUACAACCAAUCACUAAUUGAUUUGAACGGAAUCACUAAAUGUUUGAACAGAAUCACUGAACCCACAACCUUCCCUUUACUGCUCUCUCCUCCUAUCAUUGUCGCCGCUGCAACUGCAGUUCGAUCUUGAUCGGAAUCAACCAUGGCACUCCCCUACCUCCUUUGAAAGCAAAUAAAAGAUGGAAACUUUUUGAGUUACGCAUUACCUGACAUAUGCCACAAAAAGAAAAGACCACAAUGAGUACCAUCUUGUAAAACUAUUACAUAAUAUUUGAUCAACUUCAAAAGUUUUUAAGUCCAUUUAACCAGAUUACGAGGUAAAGAUUAAACUGAUUCACUUAAAAUUUGAGCACACUCUCGCUCCCACUUCUUACACUGAGAAAGUAAGUUUGAGCACUCCAUAGCCAAUUUCUGGUUUUCUUCUACAAAUGUCUUCACAGCUUGGGCAUUCAUACUCGACUCGGCCUAACACUCAUAAAAUCAGUGGACUAAGAACAAAGCAAAAGACUACACAACAGCCAGCAUGAAAGGUACAAUGACAUAAAUCAAAGAAGACACCUGAUAUAUUAUAACAAUUUCUAGGAAAUACAAGCAAAGCAUUAAUAAUAUCAUUUAUUUUUAAUAAAGAAACCGUCCUGCUGCUAUCAUAAUGUGUGCAACAUUAGCAAGUACAUAAAUGAAAAUUUGUCCACUUAUUUCCCUAGUAUUAGAAACAAAGGUAACCUAAAAUUAAAGAAAUCAAGAGAGUAGCGGCUAUGAUUAUGACACUGACUAGAAAGACGAAAACGACAGAGUAUUAUAGCAUAGCACUGGGCAAAAUUUUAAUAUAAAAAUACACAAAGACAACAGAGAGCCUACAAGAAGAUAAUCAUAAGCUAUGGAAAACAAUACAAUCGAAUCCAAGAUAGAUAAUUUCACUAAUAAUCAUCAUCAUCCAAGAAAUACAAAGAGAGAAAACGAAUAUAACAAUUAAGAGUGUGUAAGUAACAAACCCUAAGACAUUGUAUUUGUUGAUCUUUGACGUUAAGAUUGGCUCGCAAAAAGAGAUACUGGCGGUAAAUUCUCCGAUGCGGUUCCUGGGAACCGGAAAAAUGCAUUUGCAGUCGUAAAGAAGCAAGAGAGGUAUAAGGGACAUAAUGUCGAUGCAAUUAACAUGAAUACAUGAUGAUACCUGUAGCUCACGAGAGAGUGCAUGCUUCACUGGAUAUUUGACGUCAGCUGAUAUUUCAUCAUCUUUGUAUUCUGCUUUCUUGUUAUCAGACGUCGACACCAGCUGAUAUUGAAUCUGACUUACCAAUCAUUAUGGGAGUUCCCUGGGUUUCAAAAUGCAAGGCCAGCUCACGACAUUUUUCAGGAAUUUCAUCUCCUGAUCCUACAUUUAUAACAUUACAGCUCACCUGUUUGAGACAAUGUAUACAUUAAUCCUACAUGUAAUGCCUUAAUAUAAAAAGCAGAAUUACCACUUAGAAGCCAUCACUUUUUAUUUUGUUUAAAGUGUUCUGUUUGUGGAUUUUGUUGGCAGGUGGUGAAUCCUGAGCAAGCUUGCAAAAUUCAUCUGGUAUUUAAAAAAAAGGGAUUACUUGUUGCAUUGGUAAAGUAUGAAGGAAAAUUGCAUGGAUUUUGGAAGGUAAUUAUGACUUGACAGUUACUCUUGUACCUUAAAUAUCUUAUAGAGCAUGAAGAUGUUUUGAUUUGUUUUAAAAGGUUAAAUUGCAUCUCAUGGCCAUUGUCAGUGUUAAUCUAAUGAUUUUUCGUAAGCUUGCUUUAUUAAAUUAUUGUUUUCAUAUAGAAACAAGAAAUAAAAUUAAUCUGUAAUCCACAAUAGACAAUUCUCUAGUCACAUUAGUUUUUUUUCCUAACUAAAUCUGUUAGUAUUACACCAAUUCUCUUAUUUUGGAAUCUAUAAUUUGAAAGCAUUUCAUAUCUCGAUAAAUCUUUCCAUUUCUUAAGAAAACUAUUUAUCUAGAAUUUAGGAAGUAACCAAACAACACAGCAUAUAACUACAGAACUGCUCGUCUAUAAAGUACAACAAAGAUAGUCGGGAUCAAGGCACAGAUUCAUGUAGAAUGUAUCUAUUACAGAAAAAAUGAACCCAAAUAUAUUACUAUAGCUGUUUUAAAAAAGCACACUUUAGCAAAGUUAAAAGGACUCUCAAGUACCUGUGUGAAGUGUAAUGCUGGAGCCUAAACCAAGAAAUGAUGGUCUGUAGUGAUCGGUAAGCACAACCCCAACCCUGCGAAGACGCAAAAAUGAACAUAAAAAUAAAGUUAAAUAAGGAAAUUAGUAAACUAAUCACAUGCAACAUCUACUUCUAUAUAUUAUAUGGCGACAAAGGGCAAAAAGAGCUGAAAAAAGGAGCUUGAAAAUAUUAGCUUAUCCCUACAUAUUAUAUUAUUACAAAAAUGCCAUGCUCUGUAUUAUAAUCGUAACGGUCCAAAUAAAUGACCGGCGGGAAAAGAAUCGGGCAGAGUUGAGACAAUCAAAGGUGUACAAACAGCUUGAUUUGGCUGCUAAUUGAAUUCAAUCGUGAAAAAACAUGAGUUACAGAAAGUGAGGGGGCAAGAUAGGUGCUCAAAGUUUAUGAAUGUAUAUUCGGCGCUGACCAAGUAUGGCUCAGCCCGAGCAAAUGCAGCUACAAAUUUACAAAGCUAUUAACAGGAUUAAUAGAUAAACCCAUUGCACCACAAACCUGCUUGCUCACGGGUGAUAUUUUCCGCGGUGUAAUUAUCUAUCAUAUGCAAUUAAGCAAAGAGAUUAAAAUUUUAAAAUACCAAUGAAACGACGCCAUUACCUAACUAAUAUUUUUUAUAUGACCUCUCAAAGACAACUCUGACAUAAAAAUUUGAUGCUGAGUUACGUCACACACUUUGUUGCGCAAUAGCAACUAAUAGCUUAACAGAGUAUAUUGUCAAUUCUGGUUCUAAUACAGCAUGCCAAUAAUAGAGGGGGAAGAUUAUGGAACACUGAAAGACUUACAACGUGAUAUUCAAACGGGGAUUUCCCUUGACGGGUGAAAUGAUCAGACAUUACGCACCACUUAAUUGGUCCCCACUCUUCGAUUUCAAAGCAAUUGCCAAGAGCACAUAUAACUACAACAACAAUAAAGAUAAACAUCUACAUGAUAAACACAUAGUCCAAUCACCACCAAAUAAUCAAGAAUCGAACACACCUUGACAUCAUUAGUCAAAAGCUCUAUUCCAGCUGGGUCCUGUAUAACCCAAAUCAACAAACCAAUAAAACCCCCCAAUUUAAUUUACAUUUCAGAAUUAGAGUUAGGACCAAACUCACAUGUUAUUAGUGUAGGCACAAGUAACAACUGCUGUGAAGCAAUAAAACCCGGUAUGCGACACGAUUCUCUGAAUUUUCUGCACCUUCAAAAUUUCCCUAGACCUAUCAAUAAACCUCAUCGUUUGAUCGGCGUACCAACAAAUUCCUGAAACCCCAGUAGCAAGCGAGCAAUUUCUUUCACACGUUUAAUCAAACAAGUUGUGUGCAUUGAAUUUAACAACUAUUAAAACACAGUAACGUCAGAAAAGAGUAAUAGGUAGAUACGUAUAGAUAGAGAGAGACCAAAAAUGUCGUGUUCGGAGGGCUUCGGCCUGCCACGUUGUUUUGGGGAACUAUCCAUUGGGAGGAGGGGUGUGCUGCGUAAAUCCAAUUUAUACACACACUAAUAUUGAAGCAAACAUUUCCCCUGAAACUCAAUCUUGGCGAGGCAAUCCAUUACCGAACACAAAUUGCGGGUAAGGAGCGGCAAAGAGAAGAGGGACGAUAGAAACCAGCAGAGAGAAUGAAUAAAACAAAGAGACCAGGGCAUCACUGAAAUUCUGUGCAAAUUAAGGGUAUAUUUGUAACUUCACAGGCAUUUUUUUGGCUCUUUUUGCCCCUGGUCCCCUUUUAAUAUAUAGAAGUAGAUACGGGGAGAUUGUAAAGCAUAAUGUAACUCGUAAUGUAAUAGCGAUAACUCAACACUACAAAAGAACAGGAAAUAAUACGUAGGUAUAAUACAGGAAUCAACAGGUUGGAGAUCCGGUACGAACAGAUACCGACAAUCCAGAUAUCUGAGACGAACAUUUGUCCACUGAAAGAUUUUCAUUAACAUGCUCAAGCCUUAGUGAAAAAUAAAGUUCAAGUAGUUUUUACUAUCGAAGAUUUCCUGCCAAUUAAGUUUCAAGAACCAGAAGAUUCCAGUAUAUCUAUAUUGAUUAUUUGUAAUCAGUUUUUCAAAGCAACAUCAAACCUGGAUUGACUGAUCAAGUAUUUCAUUAAGUAAAGAAUACGAAUAUUCACUUCAGUAUUAGUCGUUCGUGAACUAGACCAGUGCACAGGACGUCAUUAUGUACAAAGUUGUUCAACGUAUUUAAUCAAUGUGGAAUUGAUCAAGUCAUGUUCGAGCUGUUCCCGAGUCAACUGAAGUCAAGCGCUUUCGAUUAAAGUCCAAUCAGAAAGAGGCGCCAAAUAUUUGAAUUGACUCAAGAAUUAAUUAAGUAAUAACAUACACACACACACACACACACACACACACACACAUACUAUAGUAGGUGCCACUUGAAGUUUGGAUGUGAAUUUGGCUAAGUCAACAACCCAAAUGGCGACACACUAGUGCAUAUAGUGAUGCUAGGCGCCACUCAGGGUCAAAUCAAGGUCAAAGGCGCCACUCAGGGUCAAAGCAAGGUCAAAGGCGCCACUCAACAUACUGUUUCAUUGUUUGACUAAGUGAGGUAUACUAGUGGCACCACGCCACUCACUAUCCUGAGGCGCCAAUUAGAGUCUAUUACUUGACAGGUGGUACUACACACUUGGAUCGAUUAUGGUUAAAUUAAAAAUAGCUCAAUGGCACCACUCAUUCAUAUACUUAAGUACUGAGGCUCCACUUGCAUGUCAAGGGUGAUUUGUCAAAGGCAAUGUUGAGUACAAGGAAGGACAAGGCGCCACUCAAGAAUGUAUAUAUAUGAAGGCGCCACUUUGAGUUACUCAAACAUCACUUAAGUAUUAACCACCCUUGGCUAAUGAACAGAACUAGGAUCACUAAGACAGAUACUGGAUCACUCUCGCUGAACCUGGAUCAUUCUCGCAGAACCAGGAUCACUCUCAUAGAGCCGGGAUCACUCAGCUAACCUUGGUUAAUGUUGAAGUCUAUAAAUAGGGCUUUGUGUUUUCAUUUGAAAACAAAUACAUCACUUAUAAAGUGCAAACACUCUCUAUACAUGCUCUCAAAGUAUGAAUAUUAAAUAUCUAUUAGGACGACCGUUUGUGUGGAUAGUGAUUUGUAGUCUCUGUCGCUUACCUUGUGUUGGAUUUUUAGCACCCUCGAGGAUUAUUUCUAAAAAAAGAAUAUCCCCCGAACUUGUUGGAGUUAUUUGAUUACUAUUGAUAGGCGAACUUAACUAAACUAUUCCGCAAUCGAAUUAAAACAAAAAAUUUGUAUAAGAUGUAUUCAACCCCCCCUUUCUACGUCUGAUUGGGACUAACAACAUGGAAUUUGUAGCUCUGAUAAAAAGAAUCAUUUUUUUCCAGUUAUUAUAAUCAUCUCUGUCAAAGGGCAACACCUUGAUUCCAAGUUUCUGGGUACUCAUGGUUUUUGAUAAAAUUAUAAUUAGAGUGCGUGGCAAGCUUUUCUAUCUAUACCUAACAAUAUGGAUCUCAGAUCUGUAUAUUAAUCAGCAUGCUCUGAUACCAAUUAUUAGUUCUGAAAUGACGUAGAAGGGGUGGUUGAAUAUGGCACUAUCAAAUUCUUGGUUUUAAUAUGAUUUGCGGGAUGUUCGUUAAUGUUUGUCUAUGUUCGUCAUUUAAUCAUAAUUAAAUAACUCCAACAAGUUCGGGAAAUAUUCGUAUUAAUACAAACCUAUAAUUGUGCUAUAAAUCCAACUCAUAAGUCGGCUACAAGGCAACGGUCCACGAAUCACAACAUCGCUCAACAAUACUAUCAAUCUAUCUUACUAAGCUUUAUAUAAUGUUUUUGAGUAUUGAUUAAAGUAAUGAAAAUUAGGUGAUCAUGUGACCUUUACUACUCAACAUUAAAGCUAACUUUAAUCACAGAAGUUUUUAUGGAAUCUGGUAAACUAAAUUUCAUGCAGCCAUACAUUAUAGCUAAUAACUUCUUGGCUUCGUUCGCUGCUAAGAUGUUGAAUAAUAUAUCAUUUUUUGCAUUCAUUUUAUGUUGUUUUUGCAUUUAUACAAGGUUAUAGAAAUCUUCUUAGCUUAGACAACAAAGGCAAGCGCUUAAGCGGAGCUCGAGACCAUUCGAAGAGAUUUCUUAGAAAAUUAGAAAGUUAUGUUUCUUUUUGUUUUGAAUAAGGAGCUUCGUGGCCAUGUAUAAUGGGCUCGCUUUACAUGGCCCAAAAUGAAAAUAAGCGAUUCUAGUUAAAUUAGCAAAAUUUUAGAUUAGUUAGCUUAGAUAAAUCUUUUUUUAGUAAGGAUUAGGGUUUUGAGACUUACACCAUCAACCUGCAGCCGCAUACAAUCAGAUUCACGAUUCUUCUCACCGACCUCAUAUCAGUUCUCAACCACCAGCUCCACAGUGAUCCAAGUUCAUCUCAGAUUCCAAACAUUACGGUUACUAUGCUUGUCUCCUUUUAUCAUAUAGUAAAUUUGGUUGUUAAUUGAUUUUUAUGUUCAAUUUAGGCAAAUUAAGAUCACUGAUCUUUUACCGACUCCUACAUUAAUGGACGACUAUCUAACAUGUGUUUAUCCAUAAUUUUAGUUUUACAUGUCAAUUUUAUCUUUAUUACUUGAAAUAUUUUUAGACUCUUAAUGAAUGUUGCAUGUGUGUUUUUCUUUAAGAUUAAUUAUAUGUGUUUGUUGUUUUAAUUGUAUAGACACAUUUAUUUGAUGCCAGUUUUUUGACUGAAAAUAUUAGCUGCUCUAAUUGAACUAUAAAUUUAGGAUUUAAAAUAACUUAUAUUAAAUGGAAAUUCAGAGUCUUUCUUAUUUGAACUAUAUUUUUGAUAGUUUCAUUUCCUUGAAAAUGUUAUUUCAAGAUUUGUCAUUGUGCUUUUAAUUCUGUAAUGUAGGAUGGUUGAAUUAUUUUCUUUAAUAAUAUAUGUGUGUGUGUCCAGGGAAGGAGGCAUAAUGGGGGUAAUGAGGUACUUCCCCCGAGUAACCUGUGAAUGGUUUAAUAGUUCUAUUAUAUAAAUUUCACCAAGUGUAGCUUUGCCCCCAUGAUAUAGUCAUGGGUGUUUUUCAAAAGUGAUACGAGUUGUACUUUUGUUCUAAUAUUUUUUGUAUUUCUUAUCAUAAAUUUAUAUAUUUUACUCAUUAAGCAACUCAAAUAACUCUUGGUUAAUUGAAAAUUUUGUGUCUUUAGAGCGAUUUGUUUUUUGUGUGUGUGUAUAUUUCCCCCACACAACUAAAUUCCUAGAUCCGUCCCGAUGUGUAUCCCAAAAUCAAUUCCAACUUUGCUGCCGUCUUAUACAGAUUAGUUAAUGAGUUGAAUACUAAAUUAUUCUCUCUCUUAAGUUGUAAAUAUUGUUAAAUUGAAUCAUGUACUUAUAAAUAUCACAAACUUUGGAGGUAAAUUUGUAGGACAAUGAUGGAGGGAGUAUGUUUUUUAUCAGCGGUUGAUUUAGUGGGUCUGAUGUUUGCAACUUUUGUAUUGGGUAGUUUGAGUUAUCAGAAUAUAUGAUGAGCUAUAUCAUGAUAUCAUAAGCUUAAGCCCUUGAGAAUUUUGAUCAACUUGAAAAGCAGAUUAUGAAUAAGUAACAAAAAGUGUGCUAUAAUUCGUAUUGAUUAUUUUCUAUAUCCAGACUAUCACUGCAUCAAUUUGAUGGAUAUUCCAGAUUCUAGCGGGGAUGGUCUUGGGAGUGGCAACAAUAGGUACGACCUUUUCUUGUAUUCAAACACUCUGAAAUACAUUGAUUUAUAGACUAGAAGGCAAAGUCUCAUGUUUCUUGGGGAGUAAUUAUUCUCGACUUAAUCUUUAUAUGAAUUCAUAAGAAGAUAUAUUCCGCAGAUUUAUCCUUCUCACUGUGAAAUAAUUUCAUUCUAAAGUUUAUAACGCAAAAAGUAAAUUUAGUGCACACCUUCCUUUCAUGAAGGGCUCCUAUUUUGGGUGUAUACUAGCUUAUAAUGCAUAAUUUUAGUAUCAAAGAGGAUAAAAAAGAACUUUUAGUUUAGUAUGUAUGUAGUAUGUAUACUGAAUAUAUAUACAGUAUGAAUGGCCCUCUGAUCAAGUUUAUAAAUGAAAGGGGUCUAUAUAUUUCUAGAUUACUAUUGUUCAAUUUUAAUCUUAUAUGGAGACUAGUACUGGUUUUUAAGCCACUGGUUGAGACUGUGAAACUAACAUAGUGAUCUGGUGGUUUGAGCUAACUUUUUUUUGUAUGCUUCUGUCCAGAAAUCGAAGCCGGAGUCCGAGACAUUGUUUUGAUCGAGCUGAUUUAAAUAUGGUGGGUGACGAAAUUGACAUGUUUCAGAGGGAUUUGAGAAGUUCUGCAGAUAGCCAUGCUCUACGUGAUAACAGAUAUAAAGCAGCCACUAGUCCUGGGGUGAGUGUCUUUGAGCCAAGAGGUGCUAUCAUGGAAGGAUCCAAGAUACUUACGGGACACCAGUUACUGAAACUGAACAAGUCCUUCAGGAAGCCUGAUGUUCAAGAUACAGUAAGAUCAGAACCAUCAUCUUUAGGCCAGUACCUAAGGAGCACUGAGCAGAUUCCAGAUCUCAUCCACAUAUCGGCUCAGAUUCUUGAAGCAAUAAAAAUGCGUCCGGAACUGUAUGCAGCUUUGAGUUCUACGAUCGCACUGAAAAUCUUGCAAUCUUAUGUUUCUGGCUCUGUGGGCCCUGAUGCUCCACCUUCGUCAUCAGUAGACUUAGAUCUUGUUGAUCGUAGUUUGAAGCUGAUAGAGGCUGUAGACAAGGAGCUACAAGCUGAGGUUGCAUUAUCAUCCCAGUUACCUCGUGCUAGUGAUCCAGGGGGUGUUGGUCCAAAUGUGACAGGCUGUGGGAAUGUUGAACUGAUUGUUAACAGGCCUUAUUCAGGUGAAAAAGAUCCUUUUGCUAAAUGGAGCAAUGAAGAAUAUAAACUACCCAACGUAGGAAAAAUAAAAGAAGGAGAAAAUGAAGGUGAAUCCAAUGAUAAGGUAAAAGGCAAUACCGGUGAGCAAAAGGAACCCACUUAUGGGAAAAAUCACUAUGCCUUCAAAUGUGCACUUGUAGAUCUUGUUAAGGAGCUUCUUAGCCCAACUUAUAGCAAAAAUCUCAUCGACAAAGAAUCUUUCAAGAUUACCGUCAAGAAAGUCGUGGAUAAAGUGAUUUCAAGUGCGAAAAGCAUAGACAUACCUUGGACACCAGAAAAUAUCAACAACUAUUUGCUAGUUUCAAGGCCAAAUAUCUCAAGGCUCGUACAGGUUUGUGUUGAUCCACAAAACUUUAUUAAUUUUCAUUCUAUCUCCAUUCAUAUUUAAAGAUUUGUGUCAAAAAAUGUAGUCUUCAGGGUUAUCUUUUCUGUUUGCAUGAAGUUCAUUUAGGUUUUGCUAGAGUUCUUAAAUAAUUAUAGAGUUAAUUGCACCUUGAACCCUUUUGACCGAUUUUUGUCUAUUUUGACCUAUCACUAUUGAAUUUAAAAGGAUGAAAUAGACUCAAGAAUUAACUAAAAUGUAAUGUUAUAGGUUCUUAAGUAUAUUUUAACCUUUUAAUUUAACAUUGUGAUAGGUCAAAAUAGAUGAAAAUAGGCCAAAAUGGUUCAACAUAUGAUGCUAAAAUAUGUUAAGGGGUGUAUUGUACAAUUAUCUACAUUUAGGUAAUAAAGUGCAAUUGGGCCAAUACAACAGGAUGUGUUUUUCAAUUAAUUUAUAAUUAAAUUGUGGUUUGCAUUUGCCAUUAGCAUUCUAUUGUAUUAGUAGUAUUUCUCUUGUCUAGAUUCAAUAAAAAAAUUGUUAGUUUUAAAAAUUUGGUCCAUGUUACACAGAUAAAUUCUUAACACUAUAUAUGUUGGUGUGUUUUGUUCAUUUAAAUCAAAUUCAAGUACUGCUAUCUAGUGUAAGGAUUUUAAUUACUUGGUCAGUGUCCUCAAUCUCAUAUUUGUUUGUUGUUGCUAAAGUUUAUCUUCUGCUAUGAAAAAAUAGAAAAGGGCUCAAUUAUGAAAUUUCAGCUCUGCAUAAAUUCUUUUUGUAAAGCACUGAGGGUAAUCUCAUUACAUAUCAUCUUCAGAUGUGAAUUAAAGAAACUGCUGAGUUGUGUCUAAGAAAAUUUUAGUUUGAAAAUAGUUUUAAGUUGCACUUUUAUCUACCCUAAAUAUGUAUCUGCGUGUAGUUUGUGUAAUAUUUAUACAUCUAUAUUGAUAUGACAGAAAACUGCACAUAGAACUUUUAUAUAUACAAGUGAGAGACAAAAUCCUUGUGUGGCUACUCCAACUGCUUCCCGAGUUGCUUGUUUAACAGUCAUGCACCUCAUUUGUUAAAAGAAAGGAUGCCACUUAAACUCACACAACUCAAGUAUUUAGAAGAAGAAGAUUUUAUAUAAGAAGUAUUGCUUGAAAUUACUUGAUUACACUGACUUGCUACAAGGCUUUAUUUAGGACUUCAUACAAGGAUCUACAUACUUAAUUAAUUGCUAGAUAACUCUUAGAAUCCAAGAGACUUCACUUGAACAUUCUAGAUAUUGCAUGUACCGAGACCAAUACAUUGAAUAAAAAAAAAUACUAAUACAUGUACCAAGAUCAUUCUAAAAACACCCAAAAUCUUUCUAUUUUUAAUAGUCAAAAAUACAUUAUUUAUUUUUAACAUUAUUUCUUGUGUGAUCCUCUUUUCUGUUGUUGGUGGACGGUGGUGAUAUACCAAGUUGCCAUUUACUAGCUAAUCUUGACUUCUUAUAAUAUUAUCAGAAUCCCCUGCUUUUAGUGCAAGUAGGUAAUGAAUUUAUGGUUUCUUACUAUCCAUUUGUUUCUUGUUCUGCAGGAGUACGUAGAGGGAUUUGGGAAAAAAACAACAAGUGCAGCAUGAAAACUUUUUGGGCUUCUUAGGUAUUUAUAACCUGGAGGUUGGAACUAUAAUUCUUGCUGAAUGUUGAGCAGUAAAGCUCUUUUUGAUGUAUUUUCUUUAUCAAAUUUAUGACCGAUAGAGAAUAUUGAAUUAUUUUGUUCUUGAUAAUAGUAUAUGAACUUUUGAAAGUUGGUUUGUGUUGGUUUAACUUGAAAAAUUGGUGUGCUUGCACCAAGCCCACAAUAAUUAUGGGGCUGAUUAUGCUUUUAUGGGAUAGUAAACAUGUGUGUUCUUUAUUAUAAAAAUAAGUUCCUAUAUAUUAUGUAAAACUUAUUUUUCUAAAUAAGAUUAAUAUAUGUAUAUGAACCAACUGUGUUUAUCCGAGUCUUAAUCUAAUUAAAUAUUUGCUUGCAGAUCAAUAAAUCAAGACAUGAAUAGAUGACUCGAUAAGUUCAAACUUGGCUAAACAAUUGUUUUUAACUUCUCACAUGAUAAGUAAUUACUGUGAUUUUUUAUGUAACUCUAACUUUUCGUGUAACUCUUACAAUCGACUAAAUAGUAAAUAGGUGAAAAGAUCCAUAUUAUUAUAAUUUGUGAAAUCAUAUACCUAGAGGAUAGGUGAACAAGUAUAAUGGCUGUUUAUUGAUUAUCAAUACAAUUUAUCAACUAAGUAUGCUGAUUUUGGAAAAACAUUAAUAAGUAACUUAUUGAAAUAAUAACUAAUUAACAGGUAUACAUAUUGGUCCUUGCCAACAUGGCAACAAAAUAUAUAUUUUUUGAUCUUAAAAUAAACACAAUUUUAAGCUACAAUAACUUAACUCCCUUAACUCAACUGCUUGACAAUAGUUUGAUGAACUGUUGUUCUAGUUUCUUGCUUACUACGAUCUAUACUACCCCCGCAUAACCUUAUCUAGCAACGAACCCCAAACCCUGUUUCUAUAUCCCACUAUCAAUAACUCAAGUUUACACCUUGAACAAUACAGAAAGAUGAGUAAAAAUUACAACUCAAAUGAUUAUGAAUUCUACACACACAUAUAGAGUUAAGUUCCAUGGAGUAGACAAAAUAUUGGAAUAUUAGAGUAGAGAAUUGAAAAAAAAAUAUAAUCUAGUCAUCUAAAUUUAAAUUUUUUUUGUCCUGCAAUACUUGUAAACAUUUGACAACCUGCAUAUUAUGUUCUACAAUAUAAAGAUUGUAAUCAAGAUGUAGAACCAUUACUCUUAUAAAUCAGAGAACACUAUGUUCUGCAAUAUAACUAAUAAAUCUUAAUACUUGUUAAAGUUGAAAAAUAUUAUUGAUUGAUUGAUAAUUUUGUGUAAGACAUUUUAUAUAUGAUGAAUUACACAAAAAUUUGGAUAAUGAAGGAUAUUAUUUUUGAUUAAACUAAAAUAUUGUAACUCGUACUCCAAUACUCCAAUAUUUUGUCUAGUCCAUAUAUGGAACUUAACUAUAUAUAUGUAUACAUACAUAUAUAUAUAUAUAUAUAUAUAUAUNAUACAUACAUAUACAUAUGAACUUCCAGAAUCAUCACAAAGCGAAGAAAAUUUUCUAUAUAGAUUUCAAGAGUUGUAUGAUCAGGUGUAUUUUAGAAGAACAAGAACACCUUUAUUUAUAUUUCAUAUAUAUAAGGAUCAUUAAUCCAUAAUACUUGCAACGGUCUUCAUUAAUAAAUCUCACGUUCAAGUUGUUUAGGAUAGGCGAUAGUUGUGAACGUUAAUUAGCAAAGUUUGAUAAGAAGAACGAUUGGAGAAUUAGUUUGAAAACGCGUGGAAGGGAUUUCAUCUAAUAAUUAUGAAAAUGAUUUUUUUACUUAAAAAACAGCUCUGGAUAUGUAAAUGAUCAUAUCAUAUAUGUAUAUUGAUCUUUACAGAGAUUUACUAGAUUUACUAGAUGAUUUCCACAAUAGUCGUGAGUUUUCGAAAAGACAUCUUCGAUGAAAAAAUUAUUUUUGUAUUUGUAUAACAUACAUAAAAUAUAAAUAGACUUAAAAUUCUCUCCAAUUGAACGUAUUAUUUAAUUAAUUCUAUCAAAAGUCAAACAGUCAACUCUCAGCAAGAACAUCCUUUCAUAUAUAUAUAUAUAUAUAUGAGGAAGAUCCUAAGAAAACNNNNNNNNNNNNNNNNNNNNNNNNNNNNNNNNNNNNNNNNNNNNNNNNNNNNNNNNNNNNNNNNNNNNNNNNNNNNNNNNNNNNNNNNNNNNNNNNNNNNNNNNNNNNNNNNNNNNNNNNNNNNNNNNNNNNNNNNNNNNNNNNNNNNNNNNNNNNNNNNNNNNNNNNNNNNNNNNNNNNNNNNNNNNNNNNNNNNNNNNNNNNNNNNNNNNNNNNNNNNNNNNNNNNNNNNNNNNNNNNNNNNNNNNNNNNNNNNNNNNNNNNNNNNNNNNNNNNNNNNNNNNNNNNNNNNNNNNNNNNNNNNNNNNNNNNNNNNNNNNNNNNNNNNNNNNNNNNNNNNNNNNNNNNNNNNNNNNNNNNNNNNNNNNNNNNNNNNNNNNNNNNNNNNNNNNNNNNNNNNNNNNNNNNNNNNNNNNNNNNNNNNNNNNNNNNNNNNNNNNNNNNNNNNNNNNNNNNNNNNNNNNNNNNNNNNNNNNNNNNNNNNNNNNNNNNNNNNNNNNNNNNNNNNNNNNNNNNNNNNNNNNNNNNNNNNNNNNNNNNNNNNNNNNNNNNNNNNNNNNNNNNNNNNNNNNNNAUAUGAUAUGAUAUUUGUUCAAAUAUAUGUUGAUGAUAUUAUAUUUGGUUCUACUAACGAUAACUUGUGCAAGAGAUUUGCUAAGUUGAUGCAGAGUAACUAUGAGAUGAGUAUGAUGGGUGAGCUGUCCUACUUCCUUGGUCUUCAAGUAAGCCAAAAGGAGAUGGAAUAUUCAUUUGCCAAUCCAAGUAUGUCAGAGAUCUUCUUCGAAAGUUCAAUCUAGAAGACUCUUCACCGGCAAAGACACCCAUGGCCACUGCCACAAAGCUUGACCAGGAUAAAUCUGGUAAGAAAGUUGAUAUCACAAGCUAUCGUGGUAUGAUUGGCUCUCUACUUUAUCUUACUGCAAGUAGACCAGAUAUCAUGUUUGCAACAUGUUUGUGUGCUAGGUUCCAAGCUGAUCCUAAGGAAUCACAUCUUAUAGCCGUCAAAAGAAUCUUUAGAUAUCUUAAGGGUACACCUGGUUUAGGUAUUUGGUACCCUAAGAAUACUGGUUUUGACUUAACCGGCUAUACAUAUUCUGAUUAUGCAGGAUGCAGGAUUGAUAAGAAAAGUAUGUCUGGAAGCUGUCAAUUUCUAGGACGUCGAUUGGUUUCCUGGUAUAGCAAGAAGCAGCAUUCAAUGUCUACUUCUACUGCUGAAGCUGAGUAUAUAGCCGCUGGAAGCUGCUGUGCUCAGAUACUGUAGAUCAAAAACCAAUUGAAUGAUUAUGGUAUUUCUGUCAACAAAAUUCUAAUAUUUUGUGACAACACAAGUGCCAUAGCCAUUUCCAACAAUCUGGUUCAACAUUCCAGAAACAAGCACAUAGAUAUCAGGUAUCAUUUUAUUCGACAACAUGUCAUGAAUGGUACGGUGGAGUUACAUUUUGUACCCACGGCUGAUCAAAUCGCUGACAUCUUCACUAAACCACUUGAUGAAUCCACUUUCUCUAAGUUGGUUUGUGAGCUAGGGAUGUUAAAUAUGACAUGAUUCUCACUGUAUAUAUUUUUAAUAUGCUUUAUAUAUUUUUAUAUAAUUUUGUGGAUUUUUUGUGUAAUUAUAGGUAUUUUAUUAGAUUUUAUAUGAUUGUCUGUAUAUUAUUUGAUAAUUAACUGUGUAAUUAUGCAUGUUUAUAUGUUUAUCUGUAAUUUUCUAAAUGCAUGCAUACUCCCCCGUAUUAUUCUCUAAGCAUUUAGAUAAUUAUUUGUAUUUAUUUUGUAUUUUUCAAAAUUAAUUAAGCAUAAAUAUUUGAAUUUAAGUUAAUUCAUUUGUUUUUGAAUUAAAGUUAAGUUCAUAAGUAUUUAUAUUUAAUUAAAGUUGAAUUUUACAAAAUAUAUGUGUAAUAUUUAAUAUUGUUUGUAUAUUAGAUUUUUGAUUUAAUGUGCAAAACAUUUUAUCUCUUUA
This 44807-nucleotide long non-coding RNA is filed under the name Daucus carota (carrot). RNAcentral describes it as "long non-coding RNA (DCAR_LNC006790)". Lineage: Eukaryota; Viridiplantae; Streptophyta; Magnoliopsida; Apiales; Apiaceae. The record is from RNAcentral.